UAAAAAACAAAAAAAAAAAAAAAAAAAAAAAAACCUCUCUCGAGCCAUAAGUUUGUGGUUGCAAAAUCCUUAGUUGGCUCAACAACCUCCUUAUUUUCGGAAAUCCCAUCUUGAGCCACAAGUUUAUCUCAAAACCCUUGUUUGGCUCAACAAACCCUAAUUGUGAUCAACAAGGAUUUUGGAUGUCCUCUUGAGCCAUUGAUGAUCAACAAGGUUUUUGUGUUCUCUUAAGCCAUUGAUGAUCAACAAGGUUUUUUGUUCUCUUGAGCCAUUGAUGAUCAACAAGGUUUUUGUGCCCUCUUGAUCCAUUCGUGAUCAACAAGGAUUUUGUGUGCCCUCUUGAUCCAUUCAUGAUCAACAAGGUUUUUGUGCCCUCUUGAUCCAUUCGUGAUCAACAAGGAUUUUGUGUGCCCUCUUGAUCCAUUCAUGAUCAACAAGGUUUUUGUGCCCUCUUGAUCAUCAAUUAAAUUCGAAAUUCUUUCUUGAGCCAAACCUUGAUUUCGAAAUCCCUCUUGAGCCAUCACUAGUUUCGAAAUUCCUCUUGAGCCAUUCAUGAUCAACAAGGUUUUUGUUCCCUCUUGAUCAUCAAGUAAUUUCGAAAUUCUUUCUUGAGCCAAACCCUGAUUUUGAAAUCCCUCUUGAGCCAUCACUAGUUUCGAAAUUUCUCUUGAGCCAUUCAUGAUCAAGAAGGUUUUUGUGCCCUCUUAACUAUCAUGUAAUUUUGAAAACCUUCUUGACCCAAGCCAAAAUUUCCAAAUUCACUCUUGAUCAUCAACAACCUUAUCUUGAUCAUCAAGCAAUUUUGAAAAACAUUCUUGACCCAAGCCAAAAUUUCGAAAUUCCCUCUUGAUCAACAACAACCUUAUCUUGAUCAUGAAGCAAUUUCGAAAACCUUCUUGACCCAAGCCAAAAUUUUGAAAUUCCCUCUUGAUCAUCAACAACCCUGUCUUGAUCAUCAAGCAAUUUCGAAAACCUUCUUGACCCAAGCCAAAAUUUCGAAAUUCACUCUUGAUUAUCAACAACCUUAUCUUGAUCAUCAAGCGAUUUCGAAAACCUUCAUGACCCUAUACCAGCCUCAUGAGUCUCGUAAUUCCUUCCAGCCUCAUUUUGAUCAUCCUUGACGCAACUUUACAUCUUGCGCCACAUAUCACUCUUGUGUCAUCCUCCCUUAUUGGCCAUCACUCCUUGUCCCUCUAUACACUUCUUGUGCAAAUAUCACUUGCGCCACCCUCUUUUUCUUCUCCUCUUACGCCAACCCUAAUUCACGUUCGUGCAUUCAUCUUGGCACAACACUCCAUCCUUUAACACAUUCUCAUGAUCCGACUUUGUAAUUGGUACAUCCGAUUACGACCAUCUCAGCCCAUGCUCACAUCAAUAUCAAAUUGGCACAUCAUCCCUCUCUUAAUCAUGAUCAAUCUUCAGUCAAAACUCUUUGGCGCAUCAUCAAUUCACAUCGUGACUAUCUCCUAGAUGCGCAACUGAUCAUUGGCGCAACUCCGAUCCGACUGCAUUGCGCAACUUCAAUCAGCAACGCCUCAGUUUUUGGUAAUCUUUUUGUUGGCGUAAUUGAUCAUUGGUGCAUAUCCAUCUCGUGAUCCUCUUAUGAUCAUCAGGUAAUUAUCGAGAGUUCGAGACUAACUUCAGCCCUAGUUCUCAAGUGUUUUUUUAAUCCUUAAUACACAUACUUGUAUGACGUUUCUUUUGUAGUUGUCGAUUUUUUUGUUAGUGAGAUAUGAUCUAAGUACAUGAUCAGAUUUAUGAAUCAUGUUUUUGUGAGCAUCAUCUUGUCCGAUCAUCAACCUUCCUAGCUGUGAAGUUUUCUCUUUUUGGUCAUGAUCUUAUGCUUAAUUCUUUUUAGUGUAUGUGUAAACCUGCUACUCCAUCUCCCAUCAUCACUUUUUUUUUAAACCCCUGAUGUAAAGUUUUUUUUUUUUUUUGACAUUCAAAUUAGGGGUGAGAAUGGUGCGGUUUGGUGCGGUUUUCAGACCAAACAGAACCGCAAACCGCAUGGUGCGAUUUUUGCAUUCUUAAAACCGUUGGGUGCGGUUUUGCAAUGGUUCGGUUUUUCGGUUUUUAAAUGCGGUUUCGGUUUCUUUCGGUGCGGUUUCGGUUUUUAAACCGUGUUAUGAAUUUGGUGCAGUUUUUUUUUAUGUUUUUGGUGGGGUUUUUUAAAACUGUAAGAACUGAAAACCCGGUGCAUAUAAGCUUGUAUUGUGCUGUUUUUUUUAACACAUUCAUUUUCAGCUCAAAACAAAAUUACAUAAUCAAAAAUUGUAAGUCGCUUAAAAUACAACUUGUGACCACUCUCACAAACUAAUUAAUAAUUGAAGGUUGGUUGAUUUUGACUUAAUUUGUUACAAGCUUAUUACAUGUAAUUGAUUAGUACCUUUGGCUAACAAUAGAACAUUUCUUUUGCACCUCAUAUAGUCUUUAUACAAACACAAAAUAAACAUAUAAUAAAUAUAUUAUCGUUUAUAACUAUUUUAAAUAGCAUGUAUAUAAUAUACAUUGAUUGAUUUAUUACUAUACACGCUUGCGGUGCGGUUCGGUUUUGGUGGACUGGUUUUUAGGAUAGAAACCGCACCGCACCGUUCACCUUCGGUUUUUGCAAAAAUUAAAUCCGCACAAUUGGUUUUUGCAUCGGUUUCGGUUUUUCGGUUGCAGUUUAUUGCGGUUUUGUCGGUUUUUCUUUAGUCGGUUCGGUUUUUGCUCACCCCUAAUUCAAAUCAAUGUGUAUGAGCAGUUUUGUUUUUAGAGAGUCAUCACGUGUGAAUCUUACAACAUCGUCUGUUCAUCUACAAACCUUAGGUAAGAUUCAUGUUAAUUUUUUUUUCAUAUGCAUGCUUGAGUGAAGGUCUCUCUUUGUUGAAUCAUCACCGAGGAUUCAAUAUCUGAUUCGCGCAACUCCUCACUUCCUCACUUUGAGCAUCAUCAUCUCUUGAGUGAAGGUGUCUCUUUUAUUUUUCUUUCUUUCUUUUCUUCUUGAGCCAAUUUUUAUUUUCUUCUUGAGUCACCAUCGAGCUAUCUUGGAAAGCCAACGUGAAGUGCUCAUGCACCUCAAGAAACCCCCCAGCAACAUGUUGUGUAGAACCAAGGCUUCAAAAAAACUUUUUGUGACAAUUUUUUUUGGUGAGACUUGAAUGUUACAUCUUUUUAAUCAUUUGUGACGGUCCUGCUGUCGCAAAAGGGUUACACAUAAGCAUUAAAAACAAGGCUUCACAAACUUUUUGUGACAAUCAAAAUUUGCUUGUGACCCUUGCAUGGAGCUUUUGUGACAGUUUUGAUGUCACAAAAGGUACAUUCAAGUUGUGGUGUGAUAAAAAAAAUUAUACAUUUUUUUUUGUUGGUUACACUCUCACACACAUGCACGAUUUUUCUCCCUUUUCCUUUUAUUUAUUUAUUUUUAAAUUCUUUUAUUUCAAUUUUGUUUAUUACUAUUUUUUUUAUCUUUCUAUUUUGUUUUAUUUUUAUUUAUUUCUUUAUUGUUUCUUUUUUUUUAGCUAUCACUUGAAUAAGGCAUCAAUAAACACUAUCUUAGUUUAAAUUUCACAUCUUUAUCGAUAUUCUUAGUGUUUAUUUGAUAUUCAAGGGAUAUCCAUAGAAUUAUUUUAUCCAACCCUAUUUUGAAAAUAUCAUUCAUGAUUAAAAAAUAUUUCUUUUUAUUUUUUAAAAUUUUGUUUUGAUUCGCUAUGGUCCUAUAAGGCCUAGACCUAGCAACUUUGCUUUAUCAUAACACUUUUGGUAUGAUUUUAGCAAAAUAUCAAAGUUUUUAUCUAUUUUUCAGUUUGUAGAAAAAGCUCAAGUCUUUCAUUCUUAUUCAACACUUGAUCUUUUCUUCAAACUUGUGGCCUAAAUAAAACACAACAUGAUUUUGCAAGUUAUUCUUAUCUGUCAGUUUACUUUCCUAUCUUGACAAAACAAGUUUUUGUCUAGAUCAUGCAAAUUCAAAACAUUUUUUUAAUCAAUUCCAAUUUUUUUGUUGUCAUAUUGACAAUUAAAUUUUCUUUAAGAAAAUCUUUCAAGUUCGAAAAACACAUUCUCUCAAAUAAUUUUUAAAGUUUUUUUUUUUUUUUUUUUUUUUUUUUUUUUUUUUUUUUUUUGGUUCUUCUUCAACCUAAAUUUCCAUUAAAGCAAAGGGGGGAAAUGUUAAAUCAAUAUUUUUCCUUUUUCACACUUUUUACAACUCCUUAUUUCAGUAACCAUAACAUAGGGGAAACUAUUGGAAAUAUUUUGAUGUGAUUUUCACUUCAAAUAAGUUGAGUAUUGAUUUACAUUUUCUAAUAAACAUUAUCAGAAUGUUUCAGGUUGAAAAGAUCCUGAAGAUUCAACAAGUGUUUGAAGAAUCAAAUGUUGGAGCACUUGAAGUUGAACUUGGAGCACUUGUUGUUGACAUGGAGUACCCGCUGAAAGCAAGUUGGAUCAUCAUGAUCUCAGAUAGCACAUCUAGAUUAUAUGUGGAGCAUCAAAACACUGAUGGAUCAUUUGGAAUAUUGAUGGCUCAUCAGAAACAUUGUUGACUCAUCCACAACUCUAUGGCUCAACAAGAGUUGAUGGCUCAAUAAGAACAGUUGGUGGCUUAACUCAAGUCAAUGGGUCAACAUGAUCACAUUGAUGGCUCAACAAGACUGCACAUGGCAUAUCAUGUACAAUGAAGGAACGUCCAAAUGCUCAAAGGAACAUGAAUUUCGUCCAUGGUCCAUCAUGCACAUGUGGUGGUACAUCUUUAAGUUCAAGUCACAGUCCAACACUCAAAGUAACAACUCAACUUGGUCAACAACACUUCUGGAAGUUGAUGACAUCUAAGUUGACAAUUGAGUAACAUGAUGCUCAUGUUGCUCAUUACUUUUUCAAUGUUGAUCAAGAAGGUUCAAGAAUUAUGAAGACUCAUAACUUGGAUGGAACCCUAAUGGAAUACUAACGGAAUUGGAAUAUUCCAUCCAUUCUUCGUUAAAUAGGGCGAAGGUGUCAACUGAUGAUGACCUAGUCAUGAUGACGUGUCAACACCUGAUUGGUCAAGCCAUGUCAAGGGCUUUUCCAAAGCCUAUAAAUAGGCCCCUUGGGAUCCAUUAUAAAGUUGUUCUUCCUUGCUCAUUUGAGAUCAUUCUGCACAAUUGUUGUUUAGAGUAGUCUUCAGAGAGCCAUUUGAAUGUUUUGGCUUGUCUAUCAUUCAAACACUUGUAACUGAAUCUUGUUGAAUAUGAGACACUUUUGAAUUAUUGAUCUUGAACAUAUAAAAAACGUUUUUAUCAUUAAGUUGGUGAUUCAAAACUCUUUAUUUUUCACAUUAGUUGCCACUUGACGAUUCUGAAAUUCUGUUUUGGUAUUUUCAACACUUGGACUACUCUAAUCUAGGUUUACUGAAUUUUUCUCAUUUCUUCAAUUAUAAUUUCCUAAUAACGUUACUAUAAUUAAAUAAAAGCUAUAUUAAAAAUAGUGUAGACAUAGCUCACUUACAGCAGGUUUUAUAGAAAACCGGGCUUCACUUGGAGCAGCGUUUCCGAGCUGAAAGACCCUUUCUCUCGGGACUCCGGGAGCCUCAGGGCUUCCUUCGGGUGCUAGGGGGUUUACCUAGCCUUAGGAGGGGGUUAGGGAUCCUAGAGAGAGAAAUAAGUUAGAGAGAAGUGAUUUUGCUGCAAGAGAUUCGGCUGCCUUCACUUCCUUUUUAUAGCCUGUGAGGCCUCGAUAUGUUGGGCGUACCACGGACCUACGCUGGGCGUAGUGCUUCGUUCGUAGAACACGUGUUGCGGCUUCAGUGGGGCGACGUGGCUUCUCCUGGACCGAUGGAUGCAACAAUACGCGGGGCAUAACUCUUUCCGACGAGGGGUGUACUUCUCAUUCUCAAGGCACCCUUCGGACUACGCCGGGCAUUCUCGGAUUACGCUGCGCGUAGUCCUCGCACCAGCUGUCACCAUCUGAAGCGAGGCGUGGGCAACAAGGAACGGAUGAGAUUUGGCCACGUCAUCAAUCUCUUAUCAGAUUUUGCAAAUUCACUUUCCGGCUUCUAAAAAUCAUAACUUUCGCAUACGAGAUCCGUUUUCGACGUUCUUUAUAUCCACGCGUAGGCGGGAAUGUACUCUACAACUUUCGUUUAGACUCUGUCGUCUAAUUUUGACUUUAAUAUAAAAUUUAUAUUAUUAACAGGCCAGGACAAGAUUGGUCCGUUAAAAAUUCAUAACUUCCUCAUCAGACGUCCGUUUUCGUCUGUCUUUUUACCGCUACGCUACUAUUAACGAGAUAUUUGAUUCUUGUUUAGGUUAUGUCGGCUAAAAACCGCUCAAUCUAAUAUUCGAAUUUCAAGCUGUAUAUUGCUAAGCCGAAACUUCGAAAAAUCAUAACUUCCUCAUACGAAGGCAGAUUUGGGCGUUCUUUUCAUGGAUGCUAUCAGUUUAACGUAUUCUACGACUUUCGUUUAGAUCACUAAGUCUGAAUAUCACUCUAUCGUAAAUUCACUAUUUGCGUUUCCCGGUGUCGUGUCGGUUUCGUCUCGAAACUUCGACGGGUCAUAACUUAUUCGUCAUAACUUGGAUUUCGGCGUUCUUUAUAUGUACGGAAACCUUGUAAUAUAUACUAAAACUUGGUUAAGAUUAUUUAUUAUAAAUAAUCUUUUUCUGAAAAGUCAAUUUCGACACUUAUUGCCUCUAAAUUGACUAGCCCGGAUCUGCAGGCAUUACAUGAGGCAACAAAGGAGGCUAUAUGGAUAAAGAACUUCAUUGGAGACCUUGGAGUUGUACCUGCUAUAAAGGAGCCUAUAGAGAAUUUAUAUGAUAGUGAAAGUGCAGUUGCCUUAGCUAAGGAACUAAGGGAUCACAAGAGAUCCAAACACAUCGAUAGAAAAUACCACUUCAUCAGACAUUGAAUAGAAAAAGGACUCCUCGUGGCAAAGAGGGUAUCAUCAGAUGAGAACCCAGCUGAUCCCCUCACGAAGGGAUAGGGUAGGGUUAGGCAUCUCCAGCAUGCGAGGCACAUAGGGCUGAAGGAUGAUAUUUGUUUUAGUAGUUAGAUAGCUUUGAAAUGUGUAAAGUGUAAUUGACAUUUGAUGAUGAAUAAAAGUUGUUUAUUUAUGAGUAAAGUGUUGCUAUCUUUUGUCAAUCGUUUACUAUCGUUUCAUUUUUGAAUGUUUUGACUUCCAAAAUAAUUAUGUUAUGGUAUUUCAUAUUAUUCAACUUCUCCACAGUCGGUCAUAUGUUGAAAGUAGAUAUGAAUCAAGACUGUCAUGUAGUUGGUUGUAGAUGUCUAAGAUGUUGGACAUAGCAAAGUGUUGCUACAACACUCAUGAGUGUUUAUAAGUUCUGAGUAUUGGAUUCAACCCACGCUCACUUGUAUCACUACAUGGAAUUCAUCUCGAGUGAUCGUGAGAUGGUAAUAUCAUAUAAGUCUUCAAACAUAGAGAUACAGUUUGUUGCCUAUGAGUUGGUUAUACGUUGAUUGUACGAAAACGCAUUCGUAACUCGAUGUUUUAAAACAUGCCUAUAUGUAUGAUUCAACAAGUAGUAGAACAAGCAUAUGAGUUGAAGUUUAUAUGUUCCUUCUUGGAUUAGAAGUGAUAUUUAGGCCCCUCAAUGAUUUUGUGUUGACCCAUGUACCGGGCCCAGUCAGAACUAAGUUGAUGUGUUCAAUUAAGUUCUAUGUCAAACAAAUCGGAAAUCGGAAAACAAACUGUUGGACAAUAAGUAAGACAUUGUUCCAUGUAUUUGUCUGACUGAUAUCUAGAACAGAUGAUUAUAUGAUCACUCAUCUUCAAUGGUGUAUCAUCAUCUUCUCAGUUCAACGAGACCUUGAAAGAGCUACGAUUGCUGAUCGGUUCCUGAAGUCAUUCUUGCAGUUAUAGUUAUUAGACUUAUCCAAGUGGGAGACUGUUGGAUUAGGUGUCUAAGUUCAUAACUAUUCCUAGAAUGUACUUGACCCAGUUAGCAUGGUUUAUUUGGGUUGCAUGACAUUGCAACACUUGGAUAGACUAAAUGAGAGAAAGGACACUUAAGGAUUAUUAAUAUAUUAUAAGUUCUAAUAUAUUAAUAAUAUUAUUUAAUUAGUAUUGAUCAAAAAAUUAAUUUGAAAUUAAUUAAGUGAUCAAAAAGAGACUAAUUAAAUAUUUGGGGUUGAUUGUGUAAAUCAUCUAUUCUUGUAUAGUGGGCUAAUGAUCCAUGGUUUGUAUGGAUUGGGCUAAAACCGAUAAGGUGAUCCAUGGAUAGUCCAUGGAGGUUACAAACUCAUGGAUCAUGGAAUAUGGAAAGCCAUGACAAUUAGGGUUUACAUGGUGUAACCCUACUUGUGCCGCAACUAUUUAAAGACCCCUUGACUAGCAAAAAUUGGCACUACUACAAGUAAGUACAAGAGGGCUAGCCGAGUUUUGAGUGUUAGUGAACUUCUAUCAAGGUUAUUCUAAGUGUUGUGGUGUUGUGUGAGACAUUUGAGGCAUCACACUUGAGGUGUUAGGCUCACAAGGUUCUUAAGGAAUCCAAACAACAAAAAGGUAUGUUCUUUUACUAGCAUUUACAUUAAAAAGUUCGCCAUGCCAUGCUAGUUAGGUUAAGAACCUUAGAAAAGCAAUUUUGCAUGUAUCUUAGUAAAACAUAGAUCCAAGGUUUCUAGGGUUUCAUGUACACCUUAGGAGUGUUAGAAUGCUCAAAACCCUUUAGUUUCUUCUUACACUUGUCACACCAUUUUUCUUUGGCACCUCCUCCAAAUUUACUCGAACCAGACUUCGAGAACUUACUCUUCUUGUUGGAACCUGAAGUUCCUUCAAACUUUUUUUUCUCGCCAACUUCAACCUUGCUGGCGGAUCUUCCCUUGAUCAUAUGUUCAACAAACUUGGCAGCCCAGAUAGCUGCCUCCAAACUAAGUUUCUGGCGCACUGGUACCACAUACUCCCAUUGAAGUCCCUUUGGUGUAUUCAUCAAUAGAUAUACUUGAUUUUCUAACUGAAGUCCCAUUGAAUUCCUUUUGGUGUAUUUCCUUCUUGAAUGUUAAAUAAUUGAUUUUCUAACUCAAGCACAUUUUGGGUCGAGCAAUACUUGCACUUGAAAUGCACCAAGAACUCUACCCAAGUCAGUUGUAGUUGCUCAUUAGGGAUUAGGGACUUCCCCAAAGUGUUCCACCAGCAAACAGCGCCACCUCUAAACUGACGCACUGCAAAUAUGGUUUGUAGCUUGCCUUUGCAACCACAUGUCAUAAAAGCUAAUUCCAUCUCCGAGAUCCAAUCCAUUACUCUGAUAGGAUCUUCGUUUCUAGUGAAGGUUGAUGGGUUGCAAGUCAUAAAACCUUUGUACUGGCAUCCUUUUUUCUCAACUACUUCCUCUUGGUUAUUCCUUCUAUCCACAAGCGGUUCAGUUUGACCAACAGAUCUACUGUAAUUUCCUUCCUCUGAAUGAUAAUCAUUUAAUUCAAGUUGUUCAACAGGCAUUGAAUAUUCAUUCAUGUUGUUCAGCAAUAAUUGCUUCAUUUCUUCCCUUUGUUCAGCCAUCAUUGUCUAAAUCAUGGUUUGUACUCCAGCCAUGGUGAUCGGUUCUAGUGCAGCUUCUGCUAUAGGCACCUGCUCCAUCACAUGAGGUUGAGGUUGCUGAUUUCUACUUGCAUUUCCAGCUCCACUUCGGGUUCUUGCCAUUUUGAUCUAUACUCCAAAUUAGGUGAAUUUAGAUAUUUAUUCAAGAUAGAUAUUUAAAUUCUCCUGAUCACUCUGAAACAUUAAAUGCUAGUUCUAAUAUCGUAGUCAUACGCUUAGAAUCCUAAACACAUAAGGUUUCCAGAUCUAGUUAGCAACAGACCAUAGAUCCGCACAAUUAAUAGAAUAUAUAGCAAACAUAUAGCAUUUAGCACAUAAAAACAUUUUAGGCAUCUUUCUUAAAAUAAACUAGUGCUCAUAUCUAAACUAUGGUAGACACUCAUCUCACGAUCAUCACUUAGCAUUCUAAGUUUAAGUCUAGAAAUCCUACAAAUUCCUAGUUCGCUUAAACUAAUGCUAUGGUACCAACUAUGACAUCCCCAAAUUUCCCUGCCAGAAAAGACCGAUUUAGUUUUUCCUUUAAAAUAAAAUCAAAGUAAUCUUCUAAAAGAUGUUGCGGAAUUUAUCCCCAAAACAAAAUAUGAUAAAAAUUUAUCAAAGCAAUUCUUAAAUAAAUGUAUUUUCACUAUAUAACAAAACAUCAGGAUGCCAUGUUCCGAUACAGACCAAAAGCAUAAACAGUACAUUAUAAGCCUUACAAUAGUUAUUUACAUCUACGAGCCUAUAAUUCAAGAAUCCCUCGUCAUCCCCAACAAUGCUCUCAGUCCACUACCUGUAACAAAAAGCUGAGUGGGUCAGGCUUGGAAGCCUGGUGAGCAUAUAGGGUUUUCAACUCACAAAUAAUAAAUUUAUUUAUUUCAACAACCAACAAUAAAUUUAUUAGUUUCAUCAACCAACAAUAACGUUGCUUACCCGUUCCUGUUAUCCUCACUUUACGUCCCUAAACACCUAUCACAAGGGACCUAGCCUAAGGAUCAUCAUCAGGAUGGACACUACUGCUAAGGGGAUUCCUCAGCCAUACAUGUCCUUAAGGCAACCAAGAGGGGGAAGGAGUACACCAGCGAACAUAUAGUUCACCAACACCUACAGGUUGCGAGCCUGCUAAUGUUCCAUUGGACUGUCUAGAAAGGUCUGUGGUUGUCAUCUAUACUCUGCUAGAUGAAUACAACAACAACAACAACAAUAACAUCGAGGCCUCUCAUAAUUUUAACACACAUCAACUAUUUCAUCUAGACAUGUUUUACCCAACAUAUUUGUAGAUAAACAUACAUAUACCAUUUAAAACUUGUAUAAAACAUUUAUUCAACACCCAUCUCAAAUAAACAAACAAUAUAAUUACACAUAGCACGUAUUUUUAAGAAAAUACUUCAUAUUUAUGUGUAAGAUGAAAGUGACUACACGCUCACUUAAUUUAACGAUAAUCAGGAAGCACUUCGUCUCUUAAAACGAUCAUUUUCGAUAAAAACCGGGAUGUUUUCUCAAAAACCGGGCUUCACGCGGGCAAAGUUUCGUCUCGAAAAACUUUUUUCUUGGGAUCUUCGGGCUCUCUGGGCUUGCUUACAAUGCUAGGAUAGUAUUUUAGGUUUAGGGGUAAUUUUUGCAAUAUAAAAGAAACUAUACGGAUGUGAGGAUGGAAAUUGUAACAUCAAUUCGGCUGGCAUCGUCCACUAUUUAUAGUGGUUGAACACUCGAGUUACGUUGGGCGUAACUCUAUGGUACGCGGGGCGUACUGCUUCACCAGCCACUAAGUUGGGCGUACGAAGGGAUCGUCUCAGAUGCAUCAAGGCUACGAACACGCGUCUAUCAUGUGAAGGAGUAGGCGACGUGGCCAACUUCGGACCGAGUAAACGAGUACGCUGGACGCACUCCGAUUUAUCAAACUUCAAAAAUUUGGAACUUUCGCAUACGAACUCCGUUUUUAACAUUCUUUAGAUCCAUACGUAGGUGAUACCAUGCUCUACAACUUUCGUUUAGACACCGUCGGCUAAUUUUAACAGGCCGGGACAUGAAAAGUCUGUUGAAAAUUCAUAACUUCUUCAUCCGACGUCCGUUUCUGUCUGUCUUUUUACCGUUAAACUACAAUCGACAAGAUCUUCGAUUCUCAUUUAAGUUAUGUCGGCUAAAAAUCGCUCAAUCUAUAAUUUGAGUUUCGGGCUGCAUACUAUUAUACAAAAUCUUAGAAAAUUCAUACCUUCCUCAUACGAAGUUAGAUUUUGACAUUCUUUUUGUGCACGCUCUCGGUUUAACGUAUUCUACGACAUUCAUUUAUAUUUCUAAGGCUAAAAAGCACUUUAUCGAAAACUCACUUUUUACGUCACACAACGUUGUGCCGGUUCUAUCGCAAAACUUCGAUAGGUUAUAACUUCUUCGUUAUAACUCGGAUUUCGAUAUUCUUUAUAUCUUCGGAAUCCUUGUUUCAACCACUACCACUUCCUUCAUAAAUAUCUAGUUUAUCUAACAUUUAUUUUCGAUGCUAUUUUUAUCCUUAAUUCAUUAAAUUAUAAUAAUUAAGUAUAAAACACAUAAUAGUCAAAUAAUACAUCUUAUUAUUUCAAAACAAAUUACAAAGGGUGACCUAGACUAUUACAUCAUCAUUAAUGCCUAGCCUAGAAGCACUGGCGUUACAGUAUGUCCCAAAGGCUUGACACACUAAGCAAAGGUGAGCAGGUGUGACUGAUGUGUCCCAGUGAGGUUAGGUCCAGGGAUCUGGUUUAGCUAAUGUGUCCUAAGGCCUCGAUGUACUGAGCAAGGUGGAUCGGGCUUAGCCGACGUGUUCCAACGGGUUUAUGUUUGUUUAUGAUUUGUUCUCUGACUUGCAUGUGGUUGUGUAGUUACUGUGGUUGAUGACUCAACAUUAGGGGUAUAUCUCGAAUGAGAUUAUACUAUGUAUUUGUCAAAUUUACUAAGAUUUGUUCUUAACCCUUUCCCGUUAAAGUUAAUUUUUUAGGAUCGACAUGUACUCAUGAUAGCAGGGCGUAUAGCGGUACACAAUUGGCUCACGUCGGAUGGAUAGAGUUUUCAUGACACUAGGGAAUUAUAUUUUCUUUGAUUUUUAGAAUUUAUGACUUUCAAAUGGCUUUAGGAAUUACUUUGAUCUUGUAGUUUGGUUUUGAAACUUUUCUUUAACACAAGUUUUGAUUUUGUUUAUAAUUGUGUUCAUUAAAAAAUAAAAAUUUAUUUUAAAAAUUGGGAUGUUACAAUUUUACAUCUGUUUGAUGUUUUGAAAACCUUUUAGGAGUUUGAAUUUGUGUUUCGAAUGUUGACAUUUUCCAAUACCCUUAAGAGUUGACUCCAAGAAUGUUUAGUAACAUUUUCAAGUGUAAUCUACAUAUUUUGACAUGUAUUCAUAUCGAAAGACUCAAUGAGGACCACAUUCAAAUAUAUCUUUUUGGAUAUUUGGACAAUAUUGUAAUUUAGAGUUAUGAAAGUUUUUCCUUUAUCUUUGUUUUUUAUUAGUUUGUUACCCACGGUAAGCCUUGAAAAUUUUUAAAUGUUAAGGGAUUGACUAUUUUUGACCAAUUUUAAUAAAAAAAAAUCGAAAGUGAAAAGAUUGUUGUUUUUCCAAAAUAUUAAAAGUUUUGUUUUCAAAGAACAUUUCAAAUAAAAACCCAUACAAAGGUGUUCUUAUAAAUAUCAUAAAUGAGUGACAAACUAUUUAAAAAGCCACAUAAGAGAGAAUCGAGAUGAGUAAAUUGAAAGUUUAAUCCUCUGGAAGAGGGAUUCGUCAAGAUGUGUCACGUAGAGUUAUCAUCUGAUGGACAAGCACAAUUAUCAUUCGAAAGGGAAUACUUGGACCUCCUUUAUCCGANNNNNNNNNNNNNNNNNNNNNNNNNNNNNNNNNNNNNNNNNNNNNNNNNNNNNNNNNNNNNNNNNNNNNNNNNNNNNNNNNNNNNNNNNNNNNNNNNNNNNNNNNNNNNNNNNNNNNNNNNNNNNNNNNNNNNNNNNNNNNNNNNNNNNNNNNNNNNNNNNNNNNNNNNNNNNNNNNNNNNNNNNNNNNNNNNNNNNNNNNNNNNNNNNNNNNNNNNNNNNNNNNNNNNNNNNNNNNNNNNNNNNNNNNNNNNNNNNNNNNNNNNNNNNNNNNNNNNNNNNNNNNNNNNNNNNNNNNNNNNNNNNNNNNNNNNNNNNNNNNNNNNNNNNNNNNNNNNNNNNNNNNNNNNNNNNNNNNNNNNNNNNNNNNNNNNNNNNNNNNNNNNNNNNNNNNNNNNNNNNNNNNNNNNNNNNNNNNNNNNNNNNNNNNNNNNNNNNNNNNNNNNNNNNNNNNNNNNNNNNNNNNNNNNNNNNNNNNNNNNNNNNNNNNNNNNNNNNNNNNNNNNNNNNNNNNNNNNNNNNNNNNNNNNNNNNNNNNNNNNNNNNNNNNNNNNNNNNNNNNNNNNNNNNNNNNNNNNNNNNNNNNNNNNNNNNNNNNNNNNNNNNNNNNNNNNNNNNNNNNNNNNNNNNNNNNNNNNNNNNNNNNNNNNNNNNNNNNNNNNNNNNNNNNNNNNNNNNNNNNNNNNNNNNNNNNNNNNNNNNNNNNNNNNNNNNNNNNNNNNNNNNNNNNNNNNNNNNNNNNNNNNNNNNNNNNNNNNNNNNNNNNNNNNNNNNNNNNNNNNNNNNNNNNNNNNNNNNNNNNNNNNNNNNNNNNNNNNNNNNNNNNNNNNNNNNNNNNNNNNNNNNNNNNNNNNNNNNNNNNNNNNNNNNNNNNNNNNNNNNNNNNNNNNNNNNNNNNNNNNNNNNNNNNNNNNNNNNNNNNNNNNNNNNNNNNNNNNNNNNNNNNNNNNNNNNNNNNNNNNNNNNNNNNNNNNNNNNNNNNNNNNNNNNNNNNNNNNNNNNNNNNNNNNNNNNNNNNNNNNNNNNNNNNNNNNNNNNNNNNNNNNNNNNNNNNNNNNNNNNNNNNNNNNNNNNNNNNNNNNNNNNNNNNNNNNNNNNNNNNNNNNNNNNNNNNNNNNNNNNNNNNNNNNNNNNNNNNNNNNNNNNUAUAUAGAGAGAGAGAGAGAGAGAGAGAGAGAAAGAGAGAGAGAGAGGUGGGUUCAAUUGAGAAAAUAAAAAGGUUGAGAAUGGGGGAAUCAUUCUCAGCCACUCAUUUAAUCUACGCCUAAAAAGACACGAUGACAAACUUGUAAAUAUGAUAACAACCUUCAAUCUCAAAUACGUAUCUGUAGAGAAUUAGAUUACAGUUCAAACUCAUUCAUCGUUCAUCAUCCAAAUUUCUUCUCCAACCUUCAACAAUCAUCCAGAUUUCUUCAAUUCAGCUUGAAUACGAUCAGAUCUUCAACAUCUACGAUUAAUUAUACUCCCAGCAUCAUUAGAUCAACAUCAUCAAUAAUCAACAAAAAAUCCACUUCAUAUCAUUCAUUCAACAUCGAUUAUCAAAUAAAACUUAAAAAUUGAGGUUAGAAAAAGAUCAAAUCGUUUUUAUUUUUGAAAAAUUUCAUAUAAUUCUCUAUCAAUCUACUAUUUUGUAAGAUUUAAAUAGUCAAAGUAUCAUGUUUUUAACAUUUUUAAAAAAGAUAAAUUGUAUGCACUCCAACUGUUUGAUGAAAUGCAUAAACUAAAUUAUCACGUUAUAUUCAUAUAUGAAUAUGUUUAGUGUUCUAAAACUCACCGAGUUGGCCGAUUACUCCUCCGAGUACUCGCUACUCCCCCCUUGCUAAGGCGACUUACAUAAUCCCGAGUACUCCCUGAUCGGCCCCUUACGAACUGAGUAGUGUUGUGAAAUUCGGUCAACUCGGUGAUAAUAUACUUAAUGAUUCAUUAUUUAACACACACAUGUGAUUAUUACUACAUAUAAAUCUUAAAUUUUCAGUAAUUAUUCACGAAGUGAGACCAUUAUGUGUUUUUCAUUUUUUGUGUAUUAUUAUGUAUCCAAUUUUGUUAUAUAUUUCAAUCAACUUAUGAUUUUGACAUAUAUAAUUUCCCUAAAAAUAUUUCUACACAAAAUUUAAAAUCCGAGUACUCCCCGAGUACCCGAGUACUCGCUACUCGGUAGUCGGCCGAACAGUUACCGACUAACGAGUUCCACAACCUUGAAUAUGUUUUCUCACCUGAAUCAGUAUAUGAUUAUCAAAACAAAAAAAACAAAUAUGCAAGUCUGUAUGUUAUUCAUAUGUGAAUAAAAUAUAAAAAUUAUAUAUAUUUGUGAAAAUACCUUGUAAUAUUCAUAUAUGAAUAUACUGUGUAAUAUUCAUAAGUGAAUAUAUCAUAUAGUAUUCACAAGUGAAUAUAUUAUGUAAUAUUCACAUGUGAUAUACCAUGUAAUACUAUGUAAUAUUCAUAUAUGAAAAUAUUAUCUAAUAAUCAUAAGUGAAUGUAUCAUCUAAUAUUCACAAGUGAAUAAACUAUGUAAUAUUCACAAGUGAAUGCAUAGUCUAAUAUUUAAAUAUGAAUAUACUAUGUUUAUUAUAUGCUAUAUUCAUAUAGGAAUGAUACUUAAAUUGUAAAAAAAAAAAUUAAUCAUAUUUUUUAUUCAUAAGUGAAUAACGAAUGUACUGUAGAAAAAUCUGGUUCAUUUUUAUUCACUUAUAAAUAACGAUAACUGAAAAUAUAAAAAAAAAAUUAUUUUAUCUUAAAACUAUAUCAAUAUGGAUGUCUAUUUGUAGAGAAUAAAAAAUCAUGAAUUUUGGAAUAUUUAAAAUCAUUUUUCGAUAAAAAUAGCUUGUUAAAAAUNNNNNNNNNNNNNNNNNNNNNNNNNNNNNNNNNNNNNNNNNNNNNNNNNNNNNNNNNNNNNNNNNNNNNNNNNNNNNNNNNNNNNNNNNNNNNNNNNNNNNNNNNNNNNNNNNNNNNNNNNNNNNNNNNNNNNNNNNNNNNNNNNNNNNNNNNNNNNNNNNNNNNNNNNNNNNNNNNNNNNNNNNNNNNNNNNNNNNNNNNNNNNNNNNNNNNNNNNNNNNNNNNNNNNUAUAUAUAUAUAAAAAUAUCCACUCUGUGUGUACGGUUCACGCCGGCACCUUCCCACGGUCCUCGCUAGUACCUGAAACACAUAACACAACAACUGUAAGCAUAAAUGUUUAGUGAGUUCUCCAAAAUACCACAUACAACACAUACGCCACUCGAGGCUAUAGCACGAACCUCCGGUCGUUGUGUCACAGCGGGACCCUCUAGUCCUGUAGCUCAUUGUAUCCUCUGGUCCGGUCAUAGCUCGUUGGGCCCUCUGGCCUAGUCUGUAAUGUUGGACCCUCCGGUCCGGUCUGUAUCGUUGGACCCUCCGAUCCGUUCUAUAAAAUCAUACAACAUACAUAUAUCACAUAGCAAAUAAUCUCAUACUUAGCACAUAAGACCCUCUGGUCAACACAUAAUACCACUCUAGGUAACGUAUAGUGAGAAAACUCACCUCGGAUGUCUCAGUAAAUCUCUAACUCGGUAGAAAUAGGGUCUAGCCUCCGCCUAAUCACAUAAAGGAAAUACUCUCAUAAAUAUAAUCCUCGAGACUAGACUCAACCCUCUCUUAGCACCCUUAGAAGGGUAAAAGACCAUUUUACCCCUCUCUUGACACAAAGGCCCCAUUGUUGACAAAACCCUAAAAGUCAACAAAAGUCAACGGUUAAAAUUUGACCCGACUCGUCGAGUUCAUACGAGUGACUCGGCGAGUCCAUGUGAGUUCUCUGAAACCUUUUAAACAUCUCAUACACGACGAGUUCCCUCUUCACUCGUCGAGUUACUCGGCAACGAAUCGCGAGGCAACCCCGACUCGACUCGUCGAGUCUACUUAUAGACUCGGCGAGUUGCUCCCAUGACAACAUUCAUCUGAACAUCUGAGGUCAGAUCUGCUCCUCCAAUCCAUAGAUCUAGCUUCCCUAUAGCCCAUAAUCUCAUAAAAGUUGAAUCUUGGGCCCUCAUGCAAGGUCCACUAUGCUCAUUUGAGUGAAAUCCCUCAUUUCAUGACAACUCUAGCUCAUUACCCCAAGGGGAAGGCAUAAAGCCGAUUGGAAGGGAUCCUCUGGACCUCUUACGGUCCAGAUCUAUGAAUCAUUUCACCAUGCGACCUCUCUUACUCUAGAUCCAAGCUAAAUAAAGCAUAAAGAAACCUUAAAUUGAACCAUAACAACAAAAUACAAGAAUAGACUCGAGUUUAUACCUCAAAGAUGAUGAUUCAAGCUGAAAGCUCUCUGGAAUGAAGUCCUCUUGCCCCCUUUUUGCUGGAAACCCUUUCCUCCUUAGCUAAAUCACACCACAAAUGAGCAAGGAGCUCUAAUUCUCUCACAACGCGCUUAAGAUCGAAAGGGAUACUCUCUUUGGACAGAUAGCCGCAAAUGGAGGCUAUAAAGCCCUUUAAAUAGGGCUCAGACACUGAGAAGUAGGGCUUCAUAAAACAACGCGGACUCGCCGAAUCCACUAGUCGACUCGCCGAGUCCGGUCAUUAACUCAGAUGGAGAAUCGCGACUCUACUCGGCGAGUCUAAGUGUCAACUCGUCGAGUCCCUCUUAAAAUCUCCAAAAUAAAUAAAUAAAUAAUGUACCUGGAAAUCCGGAUGUUACAGUAUAUAAAUAUAUAUAUANNNNNNNNNNNNNNNNNNNNNNNNNNNNNNNNNNNNNNNNNNNNNNNNNNNNNNNNNNNNNNNNNNNNUAUAUAUAUAUGGAAAAGUGAAUAUUUAGCUGUCAUGUAUUUAAUAUUAGGUAUAGAACCAUGAAAAUUGACUUCAUUUUGAUUAAAAAAAACAUAAUUUUUUUCAUUGUUAGUUUAUUCCUAUUGCUUUUGAGUUCAUAUUAUUUCUUAUUUAAUAAUUUAUCCUCAACAUCUAUGUAUUUUGAAUGUGUUGUUUAUAUUAUUAGAACUCUAGAAGGCUACAUAACUUUCUUUGACACCUACCAUAUAUACACUUGCAUGGUUCUUUUUGAUGUAUUAUGGAAAGAAGUUUAUUGGGUUUUUAAUGAAAAUUUUCAAUCUUUCACUAUAGUUUUCUAUAUUAAAUUUGAAUAUUAAGGCUUAUAUGUAGUUGAUAAUGUAUUGUUAUACAUGGUUUGUGGUGCAAAAUUAAAUAUUUAAAACUCCAUAAAAAUAUGUACAAAUCAUAUCAUCUAGUCUAAUAGAGGAUACANAUAUAUAUAUAUAGGUUCCUUUGAUAUUAAUAAAAAAUUAGAGAUUGUAAAAUAGGUGGAUAGCCUUUUGAUGUUAUGAUCUUUAAUUGUAAAAUCUGGUGGUAGGGUAAUUGUAAAUACAUAGGUAACUAUUCAAAUUAAUGUCGUUAGUAACUAUUGUAUGACUAGUAUUGUAAUUUUAGAAGGAAUCAUAUCAGGUGUGCGUAGAUGAUACAAUACUAUAACCGUAUAUACUUUUUUUUUUCCUUUCUCGAUCAAAAUCUCACUAAAAAACUCUCACGAAAACCCUUUUUUUCUUUCUUUAUCGCAUUUUGCCUUAGUUUUCGUUUGUUAGUUGUGCAAAUUAAAUUUGAAAAAUCAGUAAAUUUUUUAGGAGAAAAUCUAAACGAGGUCACAUCUUCGUUAAUCGAAAUGAAAGGUUAGAAUGCGAGUAAUUUUUCAUUUUAUUGAUAAUGCAUGUUUGUUUUAAUUAGUUAACUAUAGUUUUAUAUAUAAAAUAAGAAAAAGUUAUUAGGUUAUAGUUAAUUGUAUGAAUUAAAAAGGAAUGGAAAUGUUAUAUAAUGGAUAUAAGAUUUAUAUUUCAAGAAUGAAUUAACAUUAAAUAUAUAGUAGAAAUAUAUAAUUAGUAAAGAAAUAACAAAUAUUUAAACUAAAACAAAAUUAAGAUGGUCAAAUGAAAUAUGAUUAAAAAACCAGGGGUUGGAUGUAUUCAAAAUAAAAAUAUAUUGACCAUUAAGGAUAUAUUCACUAAGUAUAUAUAUUAAAUGAUCAACAAAUAUAAACAAAUAAGAUAUGUGUUCCAAUAAUUUUAAAUAGUCAAUAAAAUUAAAGCAAAUAAAAUAAGCUAUAAAAAGAAUUUCAUUGCAAAUACUCUAAAAAAAGAGUUAUUUACAAAUUUUUAUAAGUAUUGUUAUUUAUUAAAAAUAUAUAUUUACGAAACAAACAAUAACGAUAUAAAAAAACAAAAGUAAUAAUUAUUUUAUUUGUCAUUACUAUCUAAUUUCAAACAAAAUUUACAAACCGUAUAAAAUUUUGACACAUUCCAUUUUUAUCAGUGGAGUUUAUGCAAAUUAAAAAUUCUUGAUAUUCCAUAUUUAUUUUAAAAUAAAUGAUCUCAAUUGCUCUGAAAUCAUCUUAAUUAUGAAUACUUAAAGUCCUUUUGUCUUGUAAAAUGAUCCAUCCUUACAAAUUUAUUUUACGAAAAACUUAUAACCUAUACGAAAUUCAUGUCAUUUUCAAUAAAAUUAUAAAAUAAAGUUAUUAUUUGAAUAAUAUAAUGGAAUGCCAACCAAUCAAGGGAAGCUAGUGGUAAGCAAUUGACGAUUUCCAUCUAUAAAUACCCUACGCACUUCGCAUAUCUUCACACAAAACAAAUUGGGUUACAACACUUUCUACUUGUAAGAAACCAAAGCAUUUAAAAAUGGCUUCAAGAGCUUUGGCAACAACAGCUUUUCUCCUUACCUUCAAUCUUCUUUUUUUCACUUUGGUAACAUCCACUCAUACCCCAAAAGGCUGCCCACCACCGCCACCAUCGUCGUGCCCACCGUCACCGAAACCUCCAACACCUUCACCGAAACCUCCAACUCCUUUACUCCCUCCCAAAGCAAGUUGCCCAAAAGACACUCUCAAAUUGGGUGUUUGUGCUAAAUUGCUCAAUGACCUUGUCCACCUGGUCGUCGGAACCCCACCAAAGACACCAUGUUGUACCCUAAUCCAAGGCCUCGCCGAUCUUGAGGCUGCAGUAUGUCUUUGCACUGCAAUUAAAGCUAAUGUCUUGGGAAUCCACCUCAAUGUUCCGGUCUCUUUGAGCCUGUUGCUUAACUAUUGUGGAAAGAAAGUUCCCUCCGGCUUCCAAUGCGCAUAGAUAUGCAUCUUUUCAAUUUAUGGAAGUUUAAUACUAUAGUGUGUUGUAUUUAAUUUGGAAGACGGUUGAUUAUGAUCGAUAUGAUGUAAAGAAUCAUAUGACAUGUGAUUCAACAAUAAAUUUUUCCCUACUAUUAUGUAAUGUUAAUGAUUUUUAUAGAAUCUUAAAUCCUAUAAACUUGUAACUUAAAAAUAAAAGUAAUCGCGUACUGUGAUUUCAAAAUAAAAAAAAUAAUAAAAAAAAACUAAAAUUUUUGUGAAAUGUGCACAUAUAUGUCGCCCUCGGGGGAUGGUGCCAACCGGUGGUUCGUGUUUAGUGUACGGUUCAUAAAUGCCUCAUGGUGGUGGACUAUUCAGUGAUAGGUUGAAAUCCUCAAGACCGGUACUCGUGUACUGCUGAAUAACUAGUACUGACACCAUUGUUGCAAAAUCUAACGAUCCUAAGAAGUCACUUACUGCUCCUAAUUAUGGGCAUUUACUCCGUUCAGUUAACCUGAAGGUCAAAGUCAAAAAUGUCCCUUGACCCGUCCUGAAAAUAAAGAAAUCAUGAAUGUUACCGACUGGUCGUAUCGCCCCCAUUGUUUCCUCGUUGUUGGACGCUAUUGUUUUUGUGUACACAACCCGAUUCUUCAUUUUCAAUUAAUGCUCUAUCUGGUGUAUAAACUAAUCGUUGAUGUGUCAAACAUACUUCAGGCUGAUCAUCAUCAACAUCUGGUACACUAUCAUGCACUUAGCUAGCGUCAACAUGCGUUUCUUGUGCACAAAAGAGUCAGAUGUGCAAUCUUAGAGAUAGUUUCAUUUUAUUGACUUCUUUUUAUAAUUUAUUUUUAAAUAUUUUAUUUUAUUUUUAGUUAAUCUUCAUGCAUAUUUUCCUUUCAUUAUUUUAUAUUUAUAUCAGAUACUUUUUAGUUUUGAGAUUUAUUGCAAAUAUUUAGAGGAAUUGAGCAGAGCGUAGAGGGUGUGACAUCCCCAAUUUUUAUGAUGAGAAAUUACCAAUUUGUUUAUAAAUAUUUAAAAAUCAGAGUAUCAUUUUUGAAGAAUAAUAUUGCGGAAUUUGUUCCCAGAAAACAUGAUAAUGAUAUUAUCAAAUCAUUUUUGAAGAAAUGUAUUUUAUUUAUAUUAAAACAUUGAGAUGUCAUCGUCAAUACAAAAUCAUAAACAUAACGAAUUAUUACAAGCCUUACAGUAAUUAAACUAGUGACCUAAUACUCCUUGAAUCUCUCAGCAGAAUGUAUCUUUCAAAUAGCAACUUGUUAUACAAUAAAAUGAGUAGGUCAGGUUGGGAAACCUGAUGAGUACAUAGGGAUUUCAAUCCCACAACGUGAUAAUAAUGUAUAUCUUAAACCUGCAACACCAACUAUUAUCAAUAACACUGAUAUAUCAUAACUCUAAAAGAAUUUAUCCCAUCCCAUCAAUUCCUAUUUACUGAUCCUAUACAAUGAUCUUACAAGAUCUAGCCUAAAGUAUUAAUAUGAACAACGAACUAACAACGCUGCUUUAGAAAUUCCCUGGCAGCAAACUAGGAUCAAUAUAUACAUCAAAUGAGGGGAAUGAAAUAAGUUUCACUAUGAACAUCCGUUUGUAAAAACAAUAAGACAAUUAAGUCAGAGGUGGAUAUCUAGAUAAUUGUGCCUAGCAGUGGUCUGCCACCGUCAGGUAUUUUACCCCCAAAAUCACCCUAUCCGGCAAUAUAACGUCAUACGUACCUAGUAGUGGUCUAUUACUGACAAACUCUAUUAAGCAGACUAUGAAGUUCCCUCAAUUACUUCGUGAAAGGAAACGCUGACACACAAAGCUCAUCAAAAGAAAAAGUAUGGGGAAAUACUAAUAAAGUACUCACGUACGUUGCCGUACUCCGACAGAUAAUAGUGUCAAAAAGGACUUUGUACAUAAUAGUACUUUUGGCACAUUAUAGUACCCUAGUAUGAGUAGGACUCGUACCCCAGAACAUAAUAAUACCCCGACACAAGCAGCACCUGAGAUAUAGAGCUUUGAAAAAGACUUGGUGCAUAGAAAGUACUUUUGUACUUUGGAAAUACUCCAUCAGUCAUCAAUCUCCUCGAACAUAGUUUCUACUCUCUAUUGCGAUCACACACGUACCAUUAGUAAUAUGCUACUUAAUAUCCAAACUUAAUUGAACUAAGCAUCUCUUUUAAGUCUUAUUUUAUCACUAGGCAAACCUACAAUGCUUAUAAUCAUCAUUCAAUACCAACCCUGUUUCAGCAACACUAUCCUAAUUUAGUGUUAUAUUUUAUACAGAGUAUCAAGUAUUAACAUACAUUUAUCUUCUCAUUUAUAAUACUUCUAUUAUUAUUAUCAUGUAAACAAAUCUCAGCAUAUGUAGAACCAUGUCUAGUUCACAUAGCAUAUAUCAUCAAAUAUACAUAAAACACAUAUUUCCAGAUAAUAACUAUAUAACUCACAUAUAAACUUUCAACAUAUAUUUAAUACUUUAAUACUUGUAUUAAAAUCAUAUUCAUGAAAGUGACUAUGCACUCACUUGUUAAAGUGACGAUUCGAAAUUCGGGCAACGCUUCGCUUCUACCAAAUUUCUUUUCCUUUGACGAAACCUAGUAUCAUUAUCACUAAGUUUUAGUCUAAUAUUUACUGCAACUAAUUAUUAUUCUUGAUUCAUCGUUAACUCAAAGUCUACUUCGAGAUCUAUCAAGUAUGGAACAACUAGGUAGGAUCAUAUUGGUGGUAUGGUCCGUUUGGUAUAAGAUGUAUACUAUUUGGAAAUCUCACUUUAAACACCUCAAUAAAUCCAACCUACACAUCAUCCCCGUAAGUAGAUCUGAUGGGAUUAAAACAACUUUUAAUCUAUGAAGAUCGAUUAGAUCUUGAACAAGUAUAUGAAUAUGAAACAGUAAAAACGCAAUAAUAAGAACAAACAGCUUGAAUCAAACGUGUCGAAUGAUUAAAUAAAAUCCUUAGAAGAGCUCGAUUAAGAACAUCAACUGUAAAGGAUUAGAAGAUUACAAGAACGAUUACAGAAAAAUAAAGUACUCUUGAUCAAUCGCUAUUUCGAUAAUCUCUCGAAUCUUAACCUAAUAUGCAUGCAAGCAUUUAACUUAUAUACAAUACAUAAAAGGCUCUCGGUUGGACAGGCCCAAACCGGAGAAUACAAGGCUAAUCAACGAGCCCAAAAGACGCAACAUCAAAACUAUCUACAGCCCAACAAUCUCCCCCUUUGCGUCAAUUUGGAGCGAGACCUUCACUUCUUACUUGGGCCGGCAGCUGAAGCUGGUACCUUCUUCUUCACGGUGUUAAACAGACACUUGGUUAUGGAGAGGAUGGUCUGUCUAAACCGGAUGUACCAAUUGAUCAUAUCAUUGAAGUACUUGAUGUCAUCAGCCGAAUUGUCUUUACACCGCUUGAUGAUUGAUAAGACGUGCUCCAAGCAAGUUGUGGUGUAAAGAUGUUUGUCAGCUAAAGCGAAGAGACAUUUCUGUCCUUCGGCUCUAGUGAACAUCACAGAGUUUCGCCUCGGAUCUAUCUUGCCCAUUUGCAUUUGAUUUAGAUCACUGGCCGAUCCCACAGGUGCGACUUUCGGUUUCUUCUUAAAAACUGUGGCGACCUCCUGAUCCAUUAGGGCAACCUCCAUGAUAUAGCAUGCCAGCAUCCUUUUGACAUGGUCUAUGAUGGGACCAUAUUCAGAUUCAUUUGUCAGCAGGAUAUUGUACAAGACUAUCCAAUCAUGAGGAUUCAGAUUGGGCAGAUCCGCCAGGGAGAUGAUGUGGGCAGUUCUUGCAGAUCCUCGGAUGAGCUUGAACUUAACGUUUGUGAAUCUCCCCACGGCAUAAGGCUUCAGCACCCGAACAUUAACAAUCUUCUGGGCGCUCCAUGUAAGGUAUUGAGGGCGAGCGGCCUCCAGGUAGAAGUCAAUGAGCUCCCUGUCAAGCUCAUCGUUCGGAUGCGGGACUUCAAAAAUGUUAGAGAAGGCGUGGAAGAUGAACGCCUUUCGAGUCAGCGGCAUAUCAAACUGCGAAUCGAUAGAGUUGUUGCAGUCGAAUGAUAUCACCGGCUCGAGCCAUAGUAUGCUUGGAGUCUCUAUGGCCUCUUUUAUCAUACGAUCCCUGGUCCAGGCAGGGAAGAGCAACUUUCGGCUCUCAAGGAGAUCGUGGGCUUCUUUUUGCUUUCGUUCGGCUUCUUCAGCCUCACGCGCCACACGACUGGCAUCGUCUUCAGCAUUGCGACUGUUCUUUCUUUUUAACAUGUCCGCAAUGGUCUCCUUGUCUUCAUCUUCAUCUUCAUCUCCUCCCUCAGCUAUGUUUUUGCCCUUGUUCUUCACACCCGAACCCGAGGCAUGACCAGUUGGGGGUGGUUCGGUUGUGUGAGUAGCUUUGGAGGAAGGAGGUGGUUUCGAUCCUUUCUUCUCAUCUCCCCCUUGUUUCGGAAUGGACACGAAACUCGGUAGGCCUUCAAUUUUGCUUAAAAGGUCCAUGGCCGGAGAGAGUUUUUCAGCGAGGGUACGCCUCACUGAGUGGUUAAGGAUGGGGUCGUGUGCUUCCAGGAUGUUUGAUAGAGCUGCGUGGACAUCCGAAACACACGUCUUUAUGACCUCCCUCUCGGAUCGAAGAGCUUCCAAUUGUUGCUGGGAGUUGGAAAGCUGCGUGCUCUUGACCUUAAGGGCGGUAGUCUUAUUCGCCAAGACGUCCAUCAGAGAAUUUUCUGCCGCAAGAUCCUCUUGUAGCUUUGCCAGGCGGGCAUCGAUGGAGGCACGAAGUGCCGAGUUGUCGUCGCUAAGAUGUUGUCUGAGAGUAGCGAACGAAGACAGCUCCGUCGAGACAAACUUGGCCAAUUGUUGAACAACUGGUUCCAGAGUUGUCUUAGUGGCUUCGGCGCUCUCCUGCAAAGACUGCAGCAGGACAGAAGCGUCAUUGAAUAGUUUAUCGACUUUUUCGGUCGCUGCCUCACAGGCUCGGGUGGAGGCGUCGAUAGCAGCAGUUGCUGAGGCCACGGAAUCAUGUUGAGCCCUGGAGAAGGCGUCAACGAUCUUCUGAAGGGCAGCUUCAGACAAAGAUGACUGCUGGUUGGAAGAGGAGGCGAGAAGUUGAUCAACCUUCUCGUUAAGCUCGCGAAGAUGCUUCCGUGUCACUGGAGCAUCAUCCUCCUCAUCACUCUGAACUUGAAACGGACUAUAGUAGACCGAAUCGAAGUUCAUGUGAUCACCACCAAGGUAUUGAUCACCGCCAUCGGAGGCGUCUUCUGGAGAUUGAGGUGGUGGUGAAGCUGGGGGUGUUAUUGGUUUGGUUGGUUCAGGUUGAGUGGGUGGGGGGUUAGUUUCGGGUGGUGGUUGUGUAUGGGUUUCGGUUUGUGGAGGUUCGGUUACAGGAGGGGUUUCGGUUACAGGUGGUGUUUCGGUUGAUGUGGUGAAUAUGGGUGGAGGUAUAGGGAAUGAGGUUGGGGGAAUAGUGGGGUUUAUGGUGGGAAUGGAAAUAGGAAUUGUGGGUGGAGGUGAAGGAACUGGGGAUUGAUGAAGUUCCAUCUCUGGGGUUGGGGACCGAGGUGGUGUGUUGCCUCGUUGAGGAGAUUCGUCUCCUUGUGAUCCCUCAGAGUCCGAACUCCCACCUUCGGAUUCGCUUGAAGAGGAGGGAAUGACGAGCUUUCGCUUCUGUUGGGUCUUCCUCCUUUUCGGUUGUGGGGAUGAAGCAGCCUUCGGUUGUUUUCGCUUCUUGGGUGAAGGUCCCUUUGGAGCCUUGGACACUUGCUUUCCCUUCUCUGACUUUUUACCCCUGACUACCGGUUUGUCGGCAUCAUGAAUCGAGCGCAGCAUGUCCGGUGUCAGUUCCCUCGGACCAGAUGGCCCUAACUCCUUGAUCGCCUUGAUCAUACUGCUGUCUGAAGGCACACUUCCAUACAUAGUCUCCGGGAUGGAGCCAAUGAAGGAGAAUUUUGAUGCAUCCGAGACGAUGAUCUUCUUGGUAUGGAACGUACCAAUAGAAGACAUCGNGCUGUUGGAACGUCGAACUUGUCCAUGGCCCAUCUUGUGAUCAAGAUCCAGAACCAGGCCAGCGACACCUCGGAGUGUCGGGAAGAGGAAGAGAGGCUCUGAAUCAACUGUUGCCAAAGGACAAACCCAUAGUCUAUGUUUAUCCCAUUGUACACUCCGUACAUUAUCGAGAGGAAAAGACGACUUGCACCGUCAGAUCCUGAGCUCCUCUCUGACAGUCCCUUGAAGAGAACUAUAAAUAACCCAUUCCACUGGGGCGGUAGGCAGGACUUCUUAAACCUGGCGACGGAGGUGAGAACCUCUGUGUAGCCCAUGUUGUAGAACAUGCUGUACAACAUCCCAACCGGAAUCGUCUCCGGGUGAACUCGCGAUGAGUCAGCGGCAAACCCUAACAAAGUGCAGAAAUGUGGGCGAGAAAUUGAAGUUUUGUGUUCUGCUACUUCAAAGAAUACCCGGUCGACGACCUUGUCGUAGUAAGCCGUCGCAUAGACCUGAGAUAAGGCCACCAUCGGCACCGUUUCAAUUCUCGACAGUGCAGGAGCAAGCUGGGAGUACUUGAGGCAUUCUAUGACCGGCGACAUGUAGGGAUUAUACGCCACUGGGUUCAGAUCGAUGACUAGGCAUUGUUGGGGUCGGAUGGGAAGAAUUUGGGAAGUUGCAUGAACAGAUGAAGAUUCAGCCAUUGUUGCAGGUUUGGAGAAGAAGAAGAACGGGAGAGUGUUUGGGAGUAUUUUUCCUUUGGGAAUUAUGGGGGCAGUAAAGAGGUAAAAGGUGUUGUUGAUGGCUUUUUAUAGUUGGUGAGGAGAGAGAAAAAUCGUUUCAAAUCUCUUAUGGAAAUAUGAAACGGGUUUUUGAGUGACUGAUUGGUGACAGUUGGGGCGUGCGAUGAUCACGUAGGAGAGAGAGUGUCAGAUUCCUAGGAUUACGCCGCCCAAUAAGCGCCGGUUCAGAGAAAGGAACCGUUUCCAUUUCCACACGCGCCUCUUUUGCCAGAUUGAUGACGCUUCAUUAUCGCACACGCGUCCUUUAAGUGUCAGAAAAAGCGCGGUCGUUUCAAAUUCACGCGCCCUCCUUUUUACCGUCGUUUGAAUUUCUAUCCAUUUAACUCCCGCCGAGUCAACAACUUUUUGUCUUUUCCCCUUUUAAACGGGUGUUUUCAAUUAUUGACCCACGUGGCUAAUUUUUUGACCACAACUUCAAUAGUAACCCUUCAGUAAUAAUCCAGCCUGUAAAAUAAUUAGUAACGGAAUUUUUGAAAAUCUAGGAUUUUCGUGCAAAGAGUGUAAAAGAAAAAGAAAUAAAGCAACUCUUUUUAGGAUAAUCUGUGAUGUCCAUAAAGACACGAAACUGAUGAUCCCGGGCACGAAUCUCUUCCUUCAAGGUCAAGAAAGACCUCAAAGUGUUAGUGUGGAAUCCCGUUGAAUUACGAUCAAACACUUAUUAAUAAAUGUUGAAAGGCUUCUUUUAAUUAGGCUAAUUAAGGGUGGUUUCGCUUUGAUGCAUCAAUUCAAUUCUUGAUAUAAGAACGAAAGAGAACAAAGUACUUGUGAGACCGGUGUAGUCUGUUGAACAAGUAGGUAGGAGUUGAUUUUAUAGUGGCUUGGAUUAAUAUGAAAUCUCAGAUAAAAAAUGUAAAACUGGAUCCCUUGGGAAGAAAUGUUAUGGUGUGUAACAAUUUCAUUGGAAUCACGCAAAAGAAAAUUUGAGAUUCCAUGAAGGUACAUUCGUCAAUUCAUUGGUGAAAACUUGAUCAAAUUAAUUGGUCACCGUCAAUUCGUUGGUGUUGAAUUUUGGGUUUCACUCAGCUCGUAGUGGCACGAAACUAAGAUCAUAAACACAGAUGUUGUGUAACCAUAAACCUCAGUGGUAGUUUCUGAGAGUCUCAAGGGUUACAAUGAUGAAACGAAUGUAAUGGAGAAGUGUAAUGGGGAUGGUGAAAGAAAACAUAGUACCUCUGCUGCGAAAAUAAGGACCAAGCAGGAGACUCUUAACUCAUGUGAGAAGAGAGUGAGGUAGCUCACGAUUAGAAUAAAUGAGUUAGCCUUAUUGGGAAGACAAGGUUUGUGUAUACCAGGUCAUGAAGGCUAUUAUUCAAAAUCUUAUGAGGCUUGGGACACAUACAGCAGCAUGCUUCUAGGGACACUUAAGUAAUUUAUCAAAUAUAUCCCCAUGAACGAACGAGCACACAAAGAAAAAUUAAAUAAAGUAUUUUUUUGGAGUAUUUGAAAUUUAUAAUAAAAGAAAAAAAAUUGUAGAAAAAAAAAAUAAGAGUUAAAAUAAAAUAAAGACUUAAAAAAAACUCUGGAAAACCGAAUCCGAACCUUCGGUUAGUUUCGGUUCAAGAAAUUUUGGAAAACCGAACCCGAACCUUCGGUUGGUUUCGGUUCCGCAAAAUGUUGAAAAACCAAACCCGAACCUUCGUUUGGUUUCGGUUCCACAAAAUUUUGAAAAACCGAACCCGAACCUUCGGUAGGUUUCGGUUUUGGAAAAUUUUGAGAAACUAAGAAUUUUAGAUAUACAAGUAAUAAAUACUGUUAACAUAAAGAAAAACAAGAUAGUACAUGUAAUAUACAACUCAGAAAAACUACCUUUGAAGUAAUGAGCGAGUUAGAUGGUUGAACCGAACCCGAACGUUCGGUUGGUUUCGCUUCUUACGUCUGAGGUUGAGAGGUAGUGUGAGGUACUGACUCAGAUUCCAUCAUUCCUAGCCCUUGCAAUAUUUUAUUGAAUGAAGCUUCUGGAAGAGCUUUGGUAAAGACGUCAGCCAGUUGAUCAGUGGUUCUUACGAAGUGAACUUCGACAUUUCCAUCUUCCACAUGAUCUUUGAUGAAGUGAUACCUCAGUGCUAUGUGUUUGGUUUUAGAGUGUUGCACUGGGUUAUGACAGAUCCUAAUUGCACUUUCAGAGUCACAAUAUAGUGGGAUCUUCUUCAUAUUGAGUCCAUAGUCUCGAAGUUGACUCUGGAUCCAAAUCACUUGUGAUGUGCAGGAUGCAACAGUAAUGUAUUCCGCUUCGGCAGUAGACAGCGACACACAUGUUUGUUUCUUGGAUUGCCAGCUGACCAACUUCCCAUCAAGAAAUUGACAGCCACCAGUUGUGCUUUUGCGGUCGAGUCCACAUCCUCCAAGGUCAGCAUCAGAAUAGGCUUGAACGAAGAAGCCAGAGUUGGAUGGAUACCAUAGACCUAAGGAGGCGGUUCGCUUGAGAUAGCGUAGGAUGUUCUUCACUGCCAGCAUGUGAGGUUCGCGUGGGUUAGCCUGAAAUCGAGCACAAUAACAUACAGAAAACAUGAUAUCAGGCCUGCUAGCAGUUAGAUACAUCAGUGAGCCUAUCAUUUGACGAUAGAGCGUGAUGUCGACAGCCGGUUUAUCUAGUGAAGGGGUAAGUUUGGUGCCGAAUGCCAUUGGGACUUUGACUUUUGAGUCUCCCAUCAUGCCAAACUUUGCUAGGAGAGUCUUCGUGUAAGCUUCCUGAUUGAUAAAGAUGCCUUCGGGUCCCUGUCUUAUAUUUAAACCAAGGAAAAAAUUAAUAGGACCCAUUGAGCUCAUUUCAAACUUAGUCUCCAUCAACUUUCUGAAUUCAGCUGUUAAGCUGGGAUUCGUAGAGCCAAAGAUGAUGUCAUCGACAUAAAUUUGAACUAUCAUAAGGUGGUUACCUUCCUUUUUGCGAAAGAAGGUUGGGUCAACCGAACCUUGUUUGAAUUUGGACAUCUUUAAAAAUUUUGUAAGCGUUUCAUACCAGGCUCUCGGAGCUUGUUUGAGGCCGUACACAGCUUUAUCCAGAAUGUAGCAAUGAUUUGGAUACUUUUCGUUCACGAACCCAGGAGGUUGCUCCACAUACACCGUUUCUUCAAGUUCUCCAUUGAGAAAUGCGCACUUGACGUCCAUUUGGAAGACCUCAAAGUUUUUGUGAGCAGCAUAGGCCAGAAAUAUUCUAACCGAUUCUAGCCUAGCUACUGGAGCGAACGUCUCUUCGUAAUCUAUCCCUUCCUCCUGACAGUAUCCUUUGACAACCAGACGAGCCUUGUUCCUUAUGACAUUACCUUCCUUGUCCAUUUUGUUUCUAAAAACCCAUUUGAGACCAACAACUGAAGCAUCCGGAGGAGUUGGAAUGAGGCGCCAGACUUUGUUCCUUUCAAACUCGUUUAGUUCGUCUUGCAUUGCUUGAACCCAAUCAGAGUGAUCGAGGGCAGUGUUCACUGUCUUCGGUUCGACUUUUGAUACAAAUGAGUUAAACAUACAAAACUCAACUUUUGAGAAUAAGGAUGUCUGUUUUGCCUUCAGUUGAGAUCGGGUCAGAACCUUUUCAGAUACAUCACCAACUACUUGAGAGAUAGGAUGAUCUCUGGUCCAUUUUGUAAGAGGAGGGUAAUUCGGAUCAAAGGAUGGAUCUAGUUCAGCGUUGAUCAUCUCUUCAGGCUCAGAUUGGCUAUCAAAAUCAAGCGUCAUAUCAUCAUGCUCCCCCUCAAUUGAUGAGUCUUGACAAACAUGAGGUUCAGGGGUUUCUUGUGGUGCUGGAUUUUCAGGCAUUGAAGCACCUUCGUUUGGAGGGGCAUCUUCGGUUGGAGAGUUACCUUCGGUUGAUGAAGGACCUUCGGUUGAAGUAGUAGAGCUUGGCUCCCCCUGGACUUGUGAGCUAGGCUCCCCCUCGACAAGAGAACUUGGCUCCCCCUCGACUGAAGCAUUGUUGGUUGGAGAUUCAUCAGUAGGCGAUUCUCCUUCAUGCAUUCUUCUUGCAGCAUCUUCGACAAUCUUCUUCAUAUGAUCUAUUUUGUUGUCGGCUGCCCCUGCUUCUGAGAGAGAAGCUUUUUCCGGUUCAUCAAAGAGAUCCAGAAAAUUCUCGUACAUAUUGGCGAUUGAGACUGUGACUUGACCAGUUUGAGGGAAGAUUUCCCUGGCAGUGUCAUCUAUGGCCUGUAGCUUCUUGACAUAGCUAUCGUCGAAGGUCACAUAGUAUGUUUCUUCAAUCCUUCUUGAUCGUUUGUUUAGGACCCUGUACGCCUUUGAAGUGAGUGAGUAACCCAGAAAGAUUCCCUCGUCGGCUUUGACAUCAAACUUGUUGCGGUGUUCUUUAGAGUUAAAGAUGAAACACCUUGAGCCAAAAACGUGGAAAAAUUUCACAUUGGGCUUCCUGUUGUUUAAUAUCUCAUAUGGUGUGAGCGUGAAUCGCUUGUUGAGAUAGGACCUGUUUUGUGUAUAACAAGCAGCAGAAAUAGCGUCAGCCCAAAAAUAAAGAGGUAAGGAAGCGAAACUUAACAUAGUUCGGGCAGCUUCACACAAAGAUCGGUUUCGUCUUUCGACUAUUCCGUUCUGUUGUGGUGUGUAGGGAGCUGAGAAAUUAUGGCUAAUUCCCUUUUCUGCAAGAAACUCUUCAAACUCCCUGUUCUUGAAUUCGAGACCAUUGUCGCUCCUGAUGUUGCGAACGACCUUCUUGAGCUGGACUUCAAUUUGCUUGAUAAACACUUUCAGCUUUUGAGUCGCUUCAGAUUUGAGCUUUAGAAAGAACACCCAUGUAAAUCGAGAGAAGUCAUCAACGAUAACAAGAAUGUACUUGCUACCACCGAUGCUUUCAAUAGAUGAAGGACCACACAAAUCGAUAUGAAGCAAUUCGAGUGGUUCAACAACUUUUGUGUUAAUUAUGGAUGGGUGACUUUGACGACUCUGCUUUCCCAUUUCGCAUGCAGCACACAAAUGCUCUCUGUCAAACUUGAGCAAUGGAAGACCCCUAACAUGACCUCCAGUGACAAGUCGGUUGAUAUCUUUGAAAUUGAGAUGAGAGAGUCUUCUGUGCCACAACCAGCUUUCGUCGGAUUGAGCUUUUGAUAGCAGACAUAUGGCUGGGUUUCCUUUGAUGGGUUUCAUGUUCAGAGGAAACAUUUCACCCUUUCGCUCUGACUUCAGAAUCACUUUCUUUGUCUUUUUCUCUAUGAUUUCAGAACCUUCAUCAUCGAAUGAAACUUUGAGACCUGUACCUCCAACAAGCUGAGAUACACUGAUGAGGUUGUGUUGGAGUCCUUCCACAUAGGCCACCUUCCUUAUUGUAAAGUCACCAUUCGUUAUCAUCCCGUAUCCCUUUAUGGUGCCGAAAGAGUUAUUUCCAAACUUAACGUUGCCACCAUUUGCAAGAGAUCUGUAUUCCCUGAGCUCCUCUUUCCUCCCUGUCAUGUGACGCGAGCAGCCACUGUCGAUGUACCAUUCUUCGUCAAACUGCUCGUCACUUAUAACCUGCAAAAAUUAAGCAGAUUUAGGAACCCAAAGUUUCUUGGGUCCAUGUGAGCUUUUCAUGGGAACGGGAAUAGUAAGAGAGAUGUCAACUAGAUAUGUUCUUUUAAUUAGAGUUGUUUCAUCUUUCUUUUUAAUGGUAAAGACUUUUAUUUUGUUAGGAUUGGGUUUGUUCGCUUUGGACUCAGGUUUGGAUUCAUCGACCUUCUGCUUUCCUUUCUGUUCAGCUGAUGGAUGAGGUUUUUGACAACAUGUGGGAUUAGCUUUAGAGCAAGAUGGAGAUGAAUGAGUGGAAGUAGAAGAACGAGAAGAAUUAGAAUGAGAGGAUUUGGAUGGAGAUGUCUUCCUGGCUGAUGAUUCUAGGUGACCCUUUUGCUUUUGAUCGUUGGCGGGGCUGACCUUUGAGUCUUGUUCUCUUUUGGCUUUAGAGCCGAACCUCUGUGUUCGGUUGGAGUUGUUCUUGGAACCGAACCUUUGGUUUCGGUCGAAUUCCUUUUCAGAACCGAGCCCUUGCUUUCGGUUGGUGUUUUCUUGCGAACCGAACCUUGGCUUUCGGUUGGUAUUUUCUUGCGAACCGAACCUUGGCUUUCGGUUGUUGGAACUUUCAGGCNGGUUGUUGGAACUAUCAGGCUUUCUUACAGGAUUGUUUUCAUACUUCAGAUUCUUGUCCUUGUGUGAAUAGUAUGCAUUCUGGGAGUGCCAGAAUUGUUUCCUUUCAGAAAGGUUUUUCCUGUAUCUUUGGUUCCUUUCUAUCUUCCUAUCCCUCAUCUGCUUGGGUUGAUGAUGAACGUUCGCUUUCGUUUUUGUUGUCACCUUGGCUGGUUCCUUUUGAACUUCAGGAGUUUUUCUUUGAGCCGAGGGAGCAGAUGGAAUAUCUGAAGAAGAUUCAGUUUGCCCUGAGGAAGUGGAGGGAGUAUCUGAUGAAGUUUCACUACGAGCUGUUGGAGUAGAGGGUAUGUCUUCUUUUGCUGAACAAUCAUCCUCUUGAGGAAUAUCUUUCGUACCACUGGUGCUUGGUUCACUGAAAUUAUCAGGCUUAUUCAAUGGUUCAGGGAUGUAUCUUCCUUUGCUCAUCCAGGAGGUUCUUUCAGACAGGCCAACGGUUUCGUUUGCAUUAUCAAUAGGAGCUUCCCAGAAAUACUCAUCACAGCCAUCAGCAUUGUCUUCAUUAACAAUAGCUGUGAGUUCAGCUGUUUGAUGUUCGGUUACUCCAGUCACCUUGUAUACCUGAUUCGGAGUGGUCCUGACCUUUUGAUACACGACAGCUUUUUCUACUAGUUUCGGGGACUUUUGUUGGGACAGUCUAGCGAAUUCCACAGAAUUUUCAGAGAUAAGAUUUUUGUGGUUUUUAGUUUCGCUUUUAACGAAUUCUGAGCAGUCAACCGUAUCCUCUACAGAAAUUUCACUCAUGUUUUCGUCCUCGUUAAGCUCAGAUGCAUUUUCAACAUCUAUUUUAUUUUCUGAGCUUACGUUGGCGUUUAGGGAGUCAAAUUUUUGCAUGGUUUCGGUUCUCAGUUUAAGUCGGUCAUUUUCGUCCAAAAGGUUUUUGAGCAUGUCCUUGUGGUCUUUGGAUUUAAUGAAGGACUCAAUUUUGUCCAGUCCAUACAUGUAGGUCGGAUUGACAUCAUCAGACGAUAUCACACUCUCACAUUUGUAGGCUUCGGCAUCGAUUUCAUCCUCCUUAAAUUCUAGGAAGGGCAAAAUCAUGCGAUGGAUCUUUUGGCCUAUCUCACAAUCCAAGUGAAGUUGAGUAAUAUUGGAAUAUAAACGUUUAGCUAUUAAACAAAAAACAUUUCGUUGUUUUAACAAUUUCAAAUUGUCUCUCUGCAAAUAAAUGUUUUCGUCUUUAACUUUAACUAAUUCCGACUCUUUUAACUCAAUCCACAUUCGCCGCUCCUCACUCUUCGACGCCACCCUGCUUAAUUGAUCAGUCAGGUUAGAAUUGGUGACUCGAGUUUGAGUUAAGCUACUAUCUAAAUGAGAAAUUCUUGUAUUAACAUUUUUUAGUUCUUUCUCAUAUGAGGAUGAUGGUACUUUAGAUGAAAUAAAAACAGAUUGUACCUUCUUUAUCAGUUCAUCGAGCUCAUUGAACUGCUGGCUGAGUGGUUUGGCCGUAAAGCACAUAUCCUCCUGUACCUUCGGUCCAUCGCUUCCUCCAUCGGUAUUGUAUCCCCUCAUUUGAGAUACGUCAGUCACCAUGAAGCAUUUUCCACCACUGCUUUCCUCCUUAGCCACAUAAGCCUUUCCAUGAGUAGGCUUCCUCACUUCUUCGUCUUCUGAGUCAGUAGACCAAACUUCUGUGCUACCGAACUCAUCGUCAUUAACCGAACCCUGCACAAUAAGAGCAUUAAUAGAAGGGUUAGCGGUAGACUUCUUCUUUCUCAACUCAUCCAAUCUCUUCUGCAGCACGGCUUCCUCAUCAUUUCCAUCGUCCUUUUCAGCCAUCUUCUUAAGAACACAGUCCUUAGCAUAGUGGUUCUUGCCACCACAGUAGAAACAGCUUACUCCGGAAUCGCCAUCUGCCUUCGGUUCCUUCUUGGGCUCCUCAGCCUUCGGUUCAUUGUUCACCUUUUCAGAGCUGUAACUCCCCUGCCAGUUUCGGUUUUUGUUGCUGGGGAAUCUCUUCUUUAUGAACCUCUUAGGAUUGGAUACCAUCAUGGCAUAAUCCUCAGUUGUGAGGUCAUAUUCUUCCAAGUUGAGCUCUUCAUCCUCCAUCACAGCUUUACUUUUAGAUAGGAGGGCCAACGAACCAAGACUAGAAACAACGUUCUUCUCUUGAACCACAAUCUUCUCUUGGGACUUUAGAAUACCCACCAGUUUCGCCAAAGAGUAUGAUUUAAACUGUUCAUGGGCUUUGACUGUGGAAACCACUGCUCUCCAUUCAGAUCUCAGUCCGUUCAAGAAAGUAACCUUUUGUUCGAUGAGCUUCCUUUCAAUGUCGUGUUUGAUCAUCUUGCUGAGAAGAUGAUUGAAGCGAUCAAACGUCUGGGUCACCGUUUCUUCGGCCCCUUGCCUGAAUUCUCCAAACUCAGAUAGAAGCAAGGUUUGGAUGGAAUGUUCAAGAUCUUCGUCUGUGGAAUACAGUUCGCGAAGUCUAUCCCACACUUCCUUUGCCGUAGUACAUGAGCUGACCAGUCUGAAUGUGUCGGACUGAAGGGCGAAUCUGAUCAACCUUAGCGCCUUAAUAUUGCACUGGAAUUUGUCUUUUUCAUCUUGCGCAAUAUCCGUCACGUCCUUAAGCAGAUCGUUGUACUCUUUUUGCGUCUUAAUGAUUCUGGAUGUUGCAGAAUGAGAAAACGGUCCAUUGAUGAUGGCUUCCCAGAUGAGAUAACCAUUGUCCUCCGAUCCAAUCACGUAAUCUUCAAAAUGAUGCGCCCAUACUUCAUAGUCAUGGGUGUAUAAGAUUGGAAUCUUUGUCGUCGAACCGAUGCUGUUGGAAAUAUUAAUAGGGUUUGAUUGCGUCGCGUCCAUUAUGAUCGUAAAAACCUGUUCAAAGAUCAGACUUGUAAUAAAGCAGAUUAGGGCAAAACAAUAAAUAUUAAGAUACGUCAAUUAAGAUGACGGCUCAAUAAAUAUCGAUGAUUGCGGAAAACCCUAAUGGAAAUCUUUUUCACAGAAAAGAUGUGUAUCGAUUACACAGCCUCCUGCUCUGAUACCAAUUGAUGGGAUUAAAACAACUUUUAAUCUAUGAAGAUCGAUUAGAUCUUGAACAAGUAUAUGAAUAUGAAACAGUAAAAACGCAAUAAUAAGAACAAACAGCUUGAAUCAAACGUGUCGAAUGAUUAAAUAAAAUCCUUAGAAGAGCUCGAUUAAGAACAUCAACUGUAAAGGAUUAGAAGAUUACAAGAACGAUUACAGAAAAAUAAAGUACUCUUGAUCAAUCGCUAUUUUGAUAAUCUCUCGAAUCUUAACCUAAUAUGCAUGCAAGCAUUUAACUUAUAUACAAUACAUAAAAGGCUCUCGGUUGGACAGGCCCAAACCGGAGAAUACAAGGCUAAUCAACGAGCCCAAAAGACGCAACAUCAAAACUAUCUACAGCCCAACAAGAUCAAUCAGUGUAAUGAAUUGGAAUCACUAAUAAAUCUUGUUUAUAUGUUCAUAAUAAUGAUAAUGAACUUAAACAUAAGUUGUACUUAAAGUACGGUAAGCAUAACUUAAUUUACAGGUGGUUUAGCGAGAAAUCGGGCUUUGCAUGGGCAAAACUUUUGAGCCGAAAGCUCUUAUUCUCGAGUCUUUCCGGCGCUCCGGGGCUCACUACUAACUCCUAGGAAGGGCUAAAGAUAAGGUCUGAUGACCUUGGGAGGUUUGGGAGAGAAUUGGUUGAAGAUGUGUAACGAAAAGAGUGAGAAAUGAGCUCUAUUUAUAGCUGCCAGCGCCCAAGUACGUUGGGCGUACUCAAGAAUUACGCUGGGCGUAAUGGAUUUUUAAGGGUUACUCUGGGCGUACUCAAAUAUUACACUGGGCGUAAUGUGCAAUGUGGCGAAAUCUGGUGGCAAGCUGUGGGGAAGAAGGUGUGGCCUAAAUCUUGCCACUUGUCACUCGUUGGUUAAUCCAAAAACUAAUUAUCUUCUAAAAUCCUUGACUUUCGCAUACGAGCUCGGUUUUUUAUGUUCUUUAUAUCCACACAUAGGUAUCGACGAUAUUUAUAACUUUUGUUUAGACUUCGUAGGCUAAUUUUUCUUUAUUUUUAAAGAUAUAUUUUAAUAGGCUUAGACAGUUAAAGUCCGUUAAAAAUUCUUAACUUUGUCAUCCGACGUCCGUUUUUUAUUGUCUUUAUAUCGUUGAGCUCCUAUUAAUGAGAUCUUCAAUUCAUGUUUAGUUUGUGUCGACUAAUGUUCGAUUGAUCUAAAAUUUGAUUUACGGGGUGUAUUCUGUUACGCUAAAUCUUAUAAAAAUCAUAACUUACUCAAAUGAAGUCAGAUUUGGACGUUCUCUAUAUGUACGUUCUCAAUUUAACAUCUACUAUGACUUUUGUUUAGCUUGCUAAGGCUAAAAAAUGUUUUAUCAAAAAUUUACUUUAUACGAUACGUGGAGCCGUAUCGGUUUAAUCGCGAAACUUCGACAGGUCAUAACUUCUUCGUUAUAAGUCGGAUUUCUACGUUCUCUAUGUGUACGGAAUCCUUGUCACAUAUAAUUGGUUAAGAUUAUUUAUUCUAAAUAAUAUCCUAUCAAAAAGUCAUUUUUAACACUUAUUAUCUCUAAAUUGACUGGCCCGAAUCUGCAUGUGUUACAAUUAUCUCCCCUUAAGAUGAUUACGUCUUGGAAUCAUCAACAAAACAGGUCUUGUAUAAUGACGACAUAUGUUAUCUUUUCAUCCAAGGUAAUAAUCAUAACUCUUUUGUCCUUUUAAAUUAGUAUCUAUCUCUUGGACUUCUUGACUACUGGCGGUGCUCAAUCUCACAUAUGCUCUCCGUACCAUGUUGAGUUUUCAAUCGUAACAUUUAAGUUACAAAUUCGAUCUUUACUAGAGAUUCCUUCUUCUUUUCAAUAGAAUUAACUUAAUACAAGUUCUUUAUUUCGAUUACCAUAAUAGACCGAUGGGUCAUGUUCUAAUGAUCUUUCAUCGUAUGAUCCAAUGCUUAGACUCAGGUCUUUUAGAGUCAAAUUCCAGAAUGGAAGAUACAUUCCUUCAUGUUCUAAUGUGAUAUAAUUAUAGUCUAGCAUGUAGCACUUCUAGCUACAAGCUUCUUACUUUAACGGCAAUUGCGAUACUUCUAUUGAUCACUUCAAAUAUCUCUUAUUUCAAUAUUCUGGCUUAAGUCAGAUUCUACAUCCAACUUGAUUCUUUAAACCACGUAUAAUAUAUAUCUUAGUUUGACUAGAUAUUAUAUGACCACCAGGUUCGGAAUAAUAGUCAUCUUCUUAGUCAUUACCGACACAAUGGUAACGCCAGACAUGAACAAAACGGAAUCAAUUACUAGCACCUUGAUAAACUUGUGACUUUCCGUGAUCCAAGUGUGAGUCCUAUGCUUCUGGUAGUAUAGGCCUCUACUAUCUUUCACACCAACUCAUACUCGUUUGUUGGGUCAAAAACAUGGUUUAUACUUUGCUUUUCUAAGCAUUUAUUGUUUUUAUUAUUUGGGCCAAAAAUAGUAUAGGAUUAAUUGUAGUUUGGACCGAGCAUUGGAUUAUUUGUAUUUUAGGCUUAGCCUUAGGUCCAUAUAUAUAUAUAUAUAUANAUAUAUAUAUAUAUAUAGGGUGAGGAGUGCAUGUGAGGGUAAGAACUAAGGAGCUUAAGUGUGUGUAUUCUAAGGUGUGAGAGAAACUACAGAGAAGAGUGUGUGUGAACUAUGUGUAUGGAGCUUCAAUCAUUUCAUUGAAUACAUCAUAGAUUCAUAUUCUUCUUCUCCUUCUCUUCUAUUUGAUCUGACAUCAUCCGUUUGAUUGGAAUUCCACACCAUCAAACGAAUCUGAUUGAUACACAGGCAGAUUGGGGACUUACAUCGACCCAAGUAUUUCCCCUCAAUUCUCCAGUUAACUGCAUAAGAAAAAUCAUAUAGUAACUUAACACAUCAAUUAACAUAACCAAGGUUUAUAUUGUUUCUUGAAAGGAUUACAUACAUAUUCAAGUUCGCCUUAUACUAUGCCUCUCAUAUUAGGCUACACCACAUGAUACAAUCUAUACGGGUACUUUGUAUCUCGAUCUUCAAAUAUAUAGACCCUUACUCCUAAUCCCUUGCAUCAUCAAUUGCUUCAUUAAGGAUCAUCUGGAAUGCUCUUGCCUUAGGAUUUGGCAGUACGUUUGGCUUUGUAGCUCCUUCCCUAUUCGGGUAGUCUUGCUUGGUUGAGCAUUUGUUGGCAUAUUGACCAAUCUUCCCACAUUUAAAGCAGGUCACCUCUUUAUUGCAUCUCCCAAUGUGCUUCCUUCUGCACUUAUGACACCACUUUUCUUCAUUUCCAUCCCCAUACCUCUUAUUGUUGUGGUCAGACUUUGGGAACCUAUUUUUUUUGGGAUCUUGAAGACUUCUCAAAGUUCCUAUUCCUGCCAACAUCAACCUUAUUGGCAGUUCUACCUUUGGUAAUUUCUUCUACAGACUUAGCAGCCCAGAUGGCCGCCUCAAGAGUAAGUGCAUAGCAUACUGGCACAACGUACUCCCAUGGUAGUCCCUUUGUAUACUUAUCGAUUUUUGUUAGCUCUACAGGGACGAUACGCAAAGAAAACUCCAUCAUGUCUAUGAAUGCAUGGGUAUACUUAUCAAUGGACAUGUUUCCCUUUUUCAAUGUCAAUAGCUAGUUCUCCAGCUCUAGCAUGUGUUGGGCUGAGCAGAACUUGCGUUUAAAGUGUACCAAGAGUUUUGCCGAUGUCAAUUAUAGUGGCUCAUUGGGGCUUAUGGUCUUUCCCAAAGUGUUCCACCAACGAACAACCCCACCCUAAAACUGACGCACAUCUAAGUAGUUUUUAGCUUGCCCUUGCAACCACAUGUUAUGAAAGCUAGCUCCAUCUCAGAGAUAUAGUCUAUAACUCUGAAUGGAUCUUCUUUCCCAGUAAAAGUUGAUUUUUUGCAAGUCGUAAAGUCUUUAUACUUGCAUAGGUUCCUUUCGAUCCCUUUAUCUUGGUUAUUUCUUCUAACCACUUGUGGAUCAGCUUGACUAACGGUUCUAUUAUAAUUUCCUUCUUCUGACUGUUGUUCGUUAAGUUCAUACUGUACAACUAGUAUAGUAGCUUCAUCCCUAUUAUUAAGCAACAUUUUUCUCAUAUCUUCCCUUUGUUCGAUCAUCAUAUUCCGAAUCAUUGCUUAGACUCUUGCCAUCAUGAUCAGCUCGGGUGCAGCUACUACCUCUGGUGCAUGCUCAAUCAUUUGUGGCUCAGGCUAUUGAUUACCAUUUUCAAAUCCACUUCGAGUUCUCAACAUGUUAGUCUAUAUGCAAAAUCAGACGUUUGGUGUGUAGUGAAGAGAAUUAAGAUAGGAAAGCUUUAUUUAUGAUAGACAUAUAAAUCUCCUUAUCAUUCCGAAAAGUUACAUGUCAGUUCUAAUAUCGGAGUUAAACGUUUAGAAAUCCGAACACAUUAAAGUUCCACAUCCGGCCCGCAAUAGACCAUAGAUUUGUUCAAGCGAUAGCAUCAUAAAGCAUAUAUUUAGCACAUAAGAGAAAUUUAGGCAUCUUCCCUAACUGAGCUAGUGCUAGUGUCUAUUUAGGCAUACUUCCUAAAAUAUAAUAGACACACUCCUCACGAUCAUCGCUUAGCAUUCUAAGUUUAAGUCCUGCAAUUCCUAGUUCGUCUAAACUAAUGCUCUAAUACAAACUGUGACAUCCCUAAUUUUACGACCAAAAAAGACCGAUUUAUUUAUGCUUAUUUAAAAACCAGAGUAUCCUUUUUGAAGAAUAAUAUUGCGGAAUUUGUUCCUAGAAAACUUUUGGAUUAGGUGUCUAAGCCCAUAACUAUAUUUGGUAUGUACUUGACUCGGUUGUACCAUGGUCCUUUUGGGUUGCCUUCACCAGAGCAACUUGACUGGAUGAAUAAUGGAGAAAGAGGUUAUUAUGGUUUAUUAAUAUAUUAUAUGAAUAAUAUAUUAAAGGAGAAAUCAUAUUAUUUAAUUAACAUUGGUUAAGAAUUAAUUUAUAAUUAAUUUUCUGGUUAAAAGAGGUUAAUUGAAUUAAAGGGACUGAAGUUGUAAUUAUAAGAUAAUUGCGAUACAAGCUGAGAAACCCUAAAGAUAGGGUGGACGAAAUAUUAUGGAAAGCCCAUAAGGAUUUUAUCCAAGGUAUGGGUUCUAGAAGGAUCUAGUGGGUUGCUUAGAGCCUAAGCAACCAUAUAAGGUCUUUGGCUGAAACUCUAAUUCCUCACCUAUAUAAAGGACCCUUGGCUUCACAAAUUCAGCUACCACUUGAACCCUAGAGUUCAUAGAAUUGAUUUUUAGCCUUUCCCCUUUCUCUCCAAGAUCAUCCAAUUGCUUAUGUGUUUGCGAUUCAUUAGAGGCAUCACAUUUGAGGUGUUAGGUUCUCAAGAGCUCAAGAUCAUCACGCUUCAAAUGAAAGGUAACAUUCUUAAUCUUAUUUAUAUUGAUUUCAAUUUUAUUGUAUGCUAUUUUAGGGUUUAAGAGCUUUGGAUGAUUAUUGCAUGUGCAAAUAGAAAAACCUAGAUCCAAAGCUUUAGGAUUUGCAUGUACACCAUAAGAUUGAUUUUUUGCUCAUAACCCAACAGUGGUUUCAAAGCCUAGGUCAUUUUUCUUUUGUAUUUGAUGCAUUGGUUAAUUGUUCAAAUUUGAAAAAUCAAAAAAUCUAGCCUCCGCCUGAUGAACUCGUCGAGUCAGCUGAUGAAGUCGACGAAUCAGGGCAACUCGACGAGUCCAUUUUGUGACUCGGCGAGUCGGGCACUCUGGAGGCUGAUCUUUCAGGAUUUUGACUGAAAUUGAAUUAAGAUAGUUACCAAAAACACUUUUGGAUGUUAAAAUCUGAUUUUUUCAAUAAGGUAUGGUAUAUCCUAAUGCAAUUCAAAGAUAAUUGUCAUAAAUAAGAUAAUUACUUGUUUUAUAUGAUAAAGAUUAAUUAUUUGUAUUUUGAUUUGAAUUAUCUAGUCAAUAAAAUAGAUUAGGUCAAAUUACGUUAUAAAUAUUAAUAAUAUGAUUAUUUAAUUGUGACAACCCGUAUGCUUCUAUCUUGUAAGUCAAGCAAAUCAAUCAAAGUUAGACUUGUUUCUGUUAGUUUUUAGCCUUGUUAAGGGUUAUUCUAAGAGUUUUUAAGCAUUGUACACUUAGAACUUAAUGCUAUGUAUUGUGAGUAAGGAAUCUAUGAUUUUCAAAUUGAACCAAAAUCAUCCAUCAAGGGAUGUUUACGGCCCAAACUAGGUUUACGGCCGUAAACCCAAGCUUGGCCAUAAACCCCUCUUUACACAUAUAGAUUUCCUUCAUUAUUUCUUCAUUUCUCACAUCUUCAAGUCUAGAACUCUCAAAACUCUCUCAAGUAUCAUCAAGAACACUCUCCUUUCUCUUCAAAAUCGUAAGUUAUUCUUUCUUAUUUACUUGAUAUCCUUCUUAUUCACGUGAAGCUCUUUGAUUUCAUCCAUGAAUUCUACACUUUUGGUUUAGAUCUUCAAAUCAUCAUCUUUUCACCAAGAACACCAAGAGCACACACUUGUUCUUGGGCCGUAAAAUCCUUAAAGGCUUCCAAAACGUAAAUAUAUAUUCUAUCAUCUUGUUAUCCAUUAGAAGCACUUGAAUCGAUACAUGAAACAAGCACCAAAUUUGCAUGAUCUUCAAUUGUUCACGGGCGUGAACCCUUCAUGUGGCCGUGAACCCUUCAUAAAAUCUUCUUAUGGCUGUGAACACUUCAUCCAUGACCAUAAACCCUUCUUAGUUGCAAGUUAGGAAUGUAAACCCUUCAUAAGAUCAAGCCUUGGGCCGUAAACACUUCAUGUGUGGCCGUAAACUCUCCUAUGGCUGUAAACACUUAUAGUGUGGCCGUGAACACCCUUUCAUACAAUCACAUGUGACUGUAACACUUCAUUUCAAGUGUUUCCUAGUCCAUAAGGUUGUUCUCUUACAAGAUUAUUUGUUAUAUACACUAAUUAUAUACAUAUAUGUGCCAUUAUAUGCUUAAUAGGACCCGUUUGUCCUCGAGACUUCACUUGGCAUACUUAGCAUCCUAUAUCGAUCUUUCAUUCAAAUCACUCACAACAGAUGAGUUCAUACCCCUAAAACUAUGCUUUUAAAUACUUUUAAAUGAUUUUAGGGGGGGGGGGGUACAAGUAUAACAUGAUGAAAUUGUGUUAAGCAUUUACAUGUUAAAACAACAUUCAAAAGGAUUUCUUAUACUCAAACUUUUGAAAACUCUUUUAAAGCUUUUAUAAAUUUCUUUUAUAUCAAAUCAUAUUCGUCUACUAUUUACGUAUAAGUAUGCUUUAGUGGACUUAGGACUACUGCUAGAUACCUUGACUCCUGUUCCUUGUUUGGUUGUGGGCUCAGGGUAGGAUCACUAGUCCGAAUGUCGGUUAAAUCAUAGUUAUACUUAUUGAAUAGAUGGGUGAAUAUUAAAAUCCUCUUAAGGAUAAUACUUAACUUAGUUUCUUGGUAAGUAAUUGAGUCUUUUCUAUACAUUAGUAUCAGUCAAACAAUCAUACUAGUAACUAUAAUAGGUAUAGUUUAGUGGAUUACUACUUACUAUUUCUAGAACAUUGAAACUUACAAGAAUCAGUUCAAACAUACUAUAACGAGAACAAAAGGAACAUACUAUAACAAGAAUAGAAGGAACAUACUAUACACUAGAACAGGAAGGAACAUACAUACUAAUACAAGAACAAGAUAACAUUAAUGUGAGCCACUACAUGGAAUGGCAAUAUACUACUCUGUCAUGUUUUGUAACCAGAGUCUUUUGGAGGGAGAGCGUGAGUUUAUGUAUAGAUAUAUACGAGAUUGACCAUCCUACACCUUGCUGCUAGCUACAGUGGGACUUGCAGGUCUAUGGGUGACAAAUGUCAUACCAUUUCGAUGUCUUUGGAACGUCGUGUUUUAUACUUGUCAAUCAAGCGUGGUUAUAACCUCAUCAAAUUUUACCUUAAUUAAACCAUUGGUUUUAAGGUAGUUAGUACUUCAGUAGUUACUGUAUACAAUACUACUGUACAUAUUCAAUUUCCCAUUACUUUCAUAUAGUGAUAUUCUCACAUAAAAGGUAAUGUAAACUAUUUUCUUGUAAUAAUAGUCAUACUUGGGAAAAACACUCACUUUUACAAAAGGACAAACAUACAGAGCAGUUGAGUCUUGGUAGAAGACUACUUUAGUAGAAAAUAUAGGAUUUUCUAGGAAGUAUACAAUCAUUUACAUCAAAACAUUUACAAACAUUUUCAUCAAACUAAUGCAAACAUUUGAUACUAAAAUAUUUAUGAACUCACCAGCUUAAAUGCUGAUCUACUCUUUCAAGAUACCUUGUAUUCUCAGGUCACCAGUAGACAGGUACAGAUGGCCAGGUUUUAAGGAGACGGAGCUCUUACAAGAUUCNGAGAAGACGGGGCAUGUUCAAGACUCGUCUUUUAUUUUGAUAUAUAUAUAUAUAUAUAUAUAUAUAUAUAUAUAUAUAUAUUUUUGGUGUCUUACAAAUACAUUAAGAACACACAUGUAUAAAUUAUACUAUUAAUGCAAUGGAUGAUGUUGUUGCUUGUUUUACUGUUGUGCAUUGUUAUGAUACUCUACAUGACGUCCUCUGCCCCAAACAUUUCCGCCGUUCUGGUUUGGGGUGUGACAUUAAUUAUUUUUAAAAUUUUCCCUCAAGUUUUGGGAUUAAAUUUUUUGAUUAAAAGUUUUAAUUUUGAAAUACUUAAAUCCUAAACCCUAGAGUUUUACAAGUUUAAAAUUCAACCCUUAUACUAUUAUAAAAUUAUAAGAUUAAUAAUUAUAUAUAUGUAUAAUAUUAAGCUAGUCUUACCAUUACUAGACCUCGUUCAUGAAGCCAAUCGAUAAAGGGGGUAUAAGGUUGCUGCCUAUAAAAUGACAGUUUAAUGGGUGUCCACUCACACCCACCACUUCCUUGAUUAGUGGAGGGUCAUUAGCCGAAUGGGUAGGAUAGGGCAACUAAUUUCUCAUUAAAAGUAUAAUGUUUAAUAAAGUAACUAAAUGUUUGUAUAAAAUUCCCAAUCUUAGUUACUUUAGGAAAAUUGUGAAAUGAUGUUAUUCCAGGAAAUUACACUUUGCACCCUGCCAAGUCGUUAGUGGAGCGUACGUGGAUAACCGACACACUAAUUUGGGACUAGCAAUGGUGAAAAAGGGUAACUCGAUGUUUAUCAUAGAUCAAUGGAACAUGUGUGGUUAACCGACACAUUGAUUAGGUGGUAAAUGACAUCGAGAGUACCAAGUAUAAUUGCAUAGUUAUUCACACCUUUUUUGUGAUCCUCAGUAUCCCAAUCACAAACUUGAAGGGCAUAUUGAGAUUUAAAAACGCCAUUGAAAAGUUCAAUGAAUCAAAAAAGAUUUAGGAAUUUCAAUACAUUUAAAAGUUAAUUGUCUUUUCGUUUUUCAUGGUGGAAAUUGGGAAAUCGUCAUUUACCUACCUUCAAAUUAUUUGCAAUUAGAUUACGACAUCUCUCUUCUGAAUUGUAAAUAAUUGUGUUGGGUCCUAGCCCUAAUUUUUCAUUUGGGUGUUAAAUUGGGGAUUCUUAUCUAAUCUAAACUUUGAUCGUUUUCUAUUUUGGAUGUCUACUCAAAACAAUAACGCUUUUGGAUCGACCGCUUUCGGCUCAUUCUUAAUCAUGAACUUGUGUGGGAGGGUGAUAUUCGAUGGGGGUCCAAUGUUAAUGAUUGGAUCCGCAACAUUCGCAUGGUCACCCGCUACGAGGACAAAGAGUAUGUUCUCGACAAGGAGCUAAAGGAGGUCAAUGUGAGCACUACCACUCCCGAGUAAAUUCAUACUUGCAAAACUUAUGAGCGAGAUGCUACGAAGGUUCAUUGCAUCAUGCUCGCAACAAUGAUUGUGGAACUCCAAAAGUCCUACGAGGACUACUACCUUUAUGAGAUGCACCAAGAUUUGAUGGAAAGGUACCAUCAAAGUGCUAGGCAGGAACGGUAUAAGAUCAUCGUUGCGAUGAUCACUCCCAAAAUGAAGGAUGGAGAGUCCAUCGCGACCCACUUUUAGAAAGUGCAGAGGUAUGUGGACCACUUGCUGAAGUUAAAUAUUAACUUCGAUGAGGAGUUGGCCAUAGAUAUUAUUCUACACUCCUCACCUCCUUGAUACGACCAGUUUUGUAUGACCUACCACAAGGAGGAGGUCACUCUAAGCAAGCUUCAAGGCAUGCUAAGGAUUGCUGAGAGUAGUCUGAAUGGCAAAUCUAUUUCAUUUACUCCUACUACCACAGCCCUACAAGGGAUAGUCUCAUGAUGGUACCUCUUCUAGUGGAACCAAAGUUGGUCUUGCUGCUCCCUCUGCAAACCCGAAGGAUGCAGAGUGAUACUACUGCCAUGAGAAAGGGCAUUGGAAUGAAGUUACCCGGUAUCUUCAAGAUAUCAAGGAUGGGAAGAUAAAGCCCACCUUUGCAGGUACUUAUACUAUUCAAUCUAAUAACUCAUCACAUGCUAUGUCUUGGGUCCUCGAUACAGGGGGUGGUUUUCACAUUUGUUCUGAUUUACAGGGUCUAAUAAGAAGUAGGGACGUGGAGCAUGGGAAGAUAAACUUUAUUAAGGGGAAUAUGAAAGCAUCUCAUGUCACCAAGAUUGGAGUUUAGUCUUUAGUGCUUGGUAGUGGGUUAGGUUUAGAUUUUAAUAACUGUUGCUAUUUGUCAGAAAUGACACGAAACAUUAUUUUUUUCAUGGUUUGUAUAAACCAGGUUUUAGAUUUUCGUUUAAUAAUGAAAAUGGUUGUAUUAAUGCUUUCUGUAAUGAUACUUUCUAUUUUGAAGCAUUGCCUUGUACUGGAAUAUAUGAAAUUGUGAUGGUUGUAGACAACUUAGGAAAUGAUGUGUUGCAUAUCGAUUCUUCCAAUGGUUUGGAUGAAGAAUGCUUGUGGCAUUGUCGUCUUGGACAUGUCAACAAGAAGCGCAUAGCCCAACUCCAAAAGGAUGGAGCGUUGGAGUCAUUCGACCUUAGGGACGAUGACAAGUGUGAGUCUUGAUUGUUAGAAAGAUGACCAAGUCACCCUUCACUGGCACUUGUGAAAGGGGUGAGGGUUUAUUGGAUCUCAUACAUACCGAUGUAUGUGGGCCCAUUAGAUCCACCACAGGGGAUGCAAACCGCUUCUAUGUGACUUUUACCUAUGACUAUAGCAGAUAUGGAUAUAUCUACUUAAUCAAGCACAAGUCAGAAACCUUUGAAAGUUCAAAGAGUUUAAAGAAGAAGUGGAGAAUCAGUUGUGCAGGAAAAUUAAGAUGCUCUGAUCCGAUCGAGGAGGAGAGUACCUUAGUAUUGAAUUCCAUGACUACCGCAACGAAUGCAGAAUUGUUUCACAAUUGACGCCACCUAGGACACCACAGUUGAAUGGUGUGGUUGAGUGGCGCAAUCGAACCUUGUUGGACAUGGUUCGUUCCAUGAUGAUUCAGGCUUCGUUACCUAUCUCAUUUUGGGGGUAUUCCUUAGAGACUACCGCCCAUAUCCUUAAUCUAGUCCCAACUAAGAAGGUUGCCUAAACACCUCACGAGAUGUGGAUAGGGAAGGUUCCCUCGUUGGAACAUAUCAAGGUUUGUGGUUCUGAGGAUUUCAUAAGAUGAUAGACUCAGGACAAGCUCAAACCUCAUAGUGAACGGUGUGUUUUCAUUGGCUAUCCGCAGAAGUCCAUUGGAUAUAUCUUCUACAAACCGAGUGACAAUGUUGUCUUCGUUGCGGGGAUAUGGGUUUUUCGAGAGCUAGAACUCAUAUCCCAAGAGUACACUGGGAGCCAAAUUGAUCUUUAAUAGCUUCAAGAAUCAAGCGAUAAAGGAACCUCUGACAUUGGCGCUUAACCCAAGGAGGAAACUUCUGUUGAACCGAUUGACGAGUCCUUACCUCUUAGACGUUCCAGUAGAGUUAGUGUUCCACUUGUGCUUUAUGGUUACCAUAUAACAAGUGAAGGUGAUACAUUUAUUAGUGAUAGUACACUAAUAAAUUUGGAUGAGCCUAACACCUACGAGGAAUCCAUGGCAGGCCCAGAGUCUCCAAAAUAGAAAGAGGCUAUGGGCAGCGAAAUUCAUUGCAUGUAUGACAAUCAAGUUUAGAACUUGGUUGAUAAUGUGCCAGGUCAUAAGACAGUCAGAUGCAAGUAGAUCUUCAAGAAGAAGACCAACAUGGAUGGGAAAGUACACACGUAUAAGGCGCGAUUGGUUGCGAAGGGCUUUACUCAAACUCAUAGAGUUGACUAUGGUUAGACCUUCUCACCAGUUGCGAAGAUUCAGUCUAUAAGAGUUAUGCUAGCCAUAGCUUCAUUUCAUUGCUAUGAAAUAUGGCAAAUGGAUGUCAAAACCGCUUUCCUUAAUGGGAAGUUGGCUGAAGAUGUUCACAUGAGUCAGCCAGAGGGUUUUGUCAAUGCAGAGCACCCUAAUAAAGUGUGUAAGCUUGAGAAAUCCAUUUAUGGAUUGAAACAGGCAUCUCGCAGAUGGAAUCUUUGUUUCGAUGAGAAAGUUAAAGAGUUUGACUUUUUGAGAAGUGAGGAUUAGUCCUAUGUAUAUGUCAAAGCUAGUGGGAGUAUAGUUAGCUUUCUCGUUUUGUAUGUGGACGACAUACUGCUCAUAGGAAAUAACACCCUAACCUUGUAGGAGCUUAAGUCCUAGCUUGGGAAGUGCUUCACUAUGAAGGACCUCGGAGAAGCUGCUUAUAUUCUCAGGAUAAGGAUUUUGAGAAAUAAUAGUAAAAGACUAAUAGGACUUAGUCAAAGUUCUUACUUGGAUAAGUUUUGAAACGUUUCAGCAUGGAGAAUUCCAAGAAAGGGGAGUUACCAAUCAAAAGCAAUACCAAGAUUAGUAAGACUCAAACCCCGGGUACCAAUGCCAAGAUAGCAGAGAUGAGUAGUGUACCUUAUGCUUAGGUAGUUGGCUCAAUCAUGUAUGUUAUGAACUGUACUCACCCUUAUGUGGCCUUCGCUUUGAGUAUGGUCAGUAGAUAUCAAGGGAAACCUGGUAGAGCGCAUUGGACCACAGUAAAGAAUAUUCUUAAGUACCUUCGGAGCACUGACGAAAUGUAUCUUAUCCUCAAUGGGAGUGAUGAAUUGAGAGUGCGAGGGUAUAGUGACGCUAGUUUUCAGACUGACUGGGAAAAUUUCCGCUCGUUGCCGGGUUGGGUCUUUACGCUAAAUAGAGGAUCAGUAACUUGGAAAAGUUCCAAGCACGAGACCAUAGUUGAUUUAUUGUGCGAAUCAGAGUACAUAGCAGCGAGCAAAGUGUCAAAGGAGGCGAUAUGACUAAAGAACUUCAUCGAAGACCUUGGAGUUAUACCGACCAUAAAGGAGCCUAUGGAGAUUUUUUGCGAUAACAAAGGUGCGAUUGCCUUAACCAAGUAACCGAGGGAUAAUGGCAGAUCCCGACACAUUGACAGGAAAUAUCAUUUCAUUAGACAUCGAGCAGAAGAGGGACUCCUCAUUGUAAAGAGGAUCUCGAUUGAAGAGAACCCAACAGAUCCCCUUACGAAGGGACUGAGUAUGGUUAAGCACUUACAGCACGCUAGGAGCAUUUGGCUGCAUGACUAUAUUAGUUUUAGUGAUUAGAUAGCCUUAGAAACUUGUAAUAGAUAAAUUGUAAUUGUCAUUUUGAUGAUUAAAUAAAGGCGUUUUUUAGAAAUAAUGUUACUGUCUUAUGCCAAUUAUUUACUAUUGUUUCACUUUGCAUGUUUUUACUUCCUAAAUAAUAAAAUUAUUUAAACUAUCUACAAUCGAUCAUACUUUGGAAGUUGGUAUGAAAGAAGACUAUCAUAAAUUGGCUUGUAAAUUGCCUAAGCAUUUAUACAUAGAAAAAAUUUGCUGCAACGUUCAUGAGUACUUAUGAAAUAUGAUUUGAGUAUUGGAUUAAACAUGCACUCACAUGAGUCACUUGAUGGAAUUUAAUCACGAGUGAUUGUGAGAUGAUAAUAUCAUAUAGUCUUUGAGCCUAGAUAUAUGAGUUGUUGUUUACGAGUUGGAUGUGCAUCGAUAAUGUGUAAAUGCAUCAGUAACUUGAUAUUAUAAAACGCAUUGUUGUGUACGAUUCGAUGAGUAAAUAGUACAAACAUAUUAGUCAAAGUUUAUCUGUUCCUUUUAUCCUAUGAGGCUAAAAGCGAUAUCUUAGGCCCCUCAAUGAUUUUGUUUUGACUUAUGGGUCGGGCCCGGUCAGGACUAAAUUGUUGUGUUCAAUUAAGUUCUAUGUCAGAAAAAUCAGAGAUCGUGAAACAAACUGAUGGACAAUAUGUAUGACUAUGUUCCAUGUAACUGUCCACACUAUAUCUUGAGAACGGAGGACUAUACGAUCCCUUAUCUAACGGACGUGUCUGAGUUCGACGACGGCUUUUGAGAGCUACGAAGGCUAAUAAGAUUAUGAAGUCAUGCUUGUAUUUUAGUUAUUAGACUUAUCCAAGUGGCAGACUGUUGGAUUAAGUGUCUAAACCCAUAACUUUAUUUGGUAUGCACUUGACACGGUUGUGGCAUGUUCCUUUUGGGUGGCCUUCACCAGAGCAACUUGACUAAUUGAAUAAUUGAGAAAGACAUUAUUAUGGUUUAUUAAUAUAUUAUAUGAAUAAUAUAUUAAAAGAGAAAUCAUAUUAUUUAACUAACAUUGGUCAAGAAGUAAUUUAGAAUUAAUUUUGUGGUCAAAAGAGGUUAAUUGAAUUAAAGGGACUGAAGUUGUAAUUAUAAGAUAAUUGCAAUAUGGGUUGAGAAACCCUAAAGAUAGGUUGGACGAAAUGUUAUGGAAAGCCCAAAAUGAUUUCGUCCAAGGGCUAGAUUCUAGAAGGAUCUAGUGGGCUACAUAGAACCUAAGCAACCAGAUUAGGUCUUUAACUCAAACCCUAAUUCCUCACCUAUAUAAAUGAGCAUUGGCUUCAGAAAUUCGGCUACCACUUGAACCCUAGAGAUUAUAGAGCCGAUAUUGAGCCUUUCCCCUCUCUCUCCAAGAUCAUCCAAUUUCUUUGGUGUUGGUGAUUCAUUAGAGGCAUCGCAUUUGAGGUGUUAGGGUCUCAAGAGGUCAAGAUCAUCAAACUUCAAUUGAAAGGUAACAUUCUUAAUCUUAUUUAUGUUGAUUUCUAUUUUAUUGUAUGCUAGUUUAGGGUUUAAGAUCUUUGUAUGAUUAUUUCAUGUACAAAUAGAAAACAUACAUCCAAAGCUUUAGGGUUUGCAUGUGCGCCAUAUGAUUGAUGUUUUGCUGAUAACCCAACAAAAACAUGAUAAUGAUAUUAUCAAAUCAUUUCCGAAGUAAUGUAUUUUAUUUAUGUGAAAACAUUGGGAUGUCAUCGUCAAUACAGAAACAUAAGCAUAACGAAUUAUUACAAGCCUUACAAUAAUUAAACCAGUGGCCUAAUACUCCUUGAAUCUCUCAACGAAAUGUAUCUUUCAUAUAGCCACCUGCGAUACAAUAAAAUGAGUGGGUUAGGUUGGGAAACCUGGUGAGUUGUCACACCCCAAAACCAUGAAUGGCGGAAACAUUCUAGGGCGGAGGACGUAAUGUACAGUAUCACAAACAAUGAAUAAUAGUAAACAAGAAACAAAAUCAUCCAUUGCAUUAAUAGUAUAAUUUCAUACAUGUGUGUUCUGUCAAAGUUAUAGACACCAAAAAUAUACGUAUCAAAAUAAAAGAUGAGUCUUGAACGAACUCCAUCUUCUCAAAAGUCUGGCACCUGAACCUGUCUAGUGGUGAUCUGAGAAUACAAGUUGUUUUGAAAGAGAGUAUCAGCUUAAGGCUGGUGACAUCAUAAGUAUAUUAGUGUCUUAGUUUAUAUGAAAGCAUUUAUAAGAUGUUUGUAAGUUGUAAUGUAUAAGUUUUGUAAAGUUUGUGUUUGUUUGAACUAUCCUAGAAAACCCUAUGUUUCCUACUAAGAGUAGCCUUCUACCAAGGCAUCUAGUAACCGUGUGUGUGUCUUUUGUAAGAGUGUGUAUUUUCCUAAAUCCGACUAUCAUUAACCAAAAAUAUAGUUUUUACAUUACCGUGCAUCGUGUGAAAGUUCACGAAGUGAAUGUAAUGGGAUAAAUAUUAUAGUACUGUAGUGUUGUAUUAAGUAACUACUGCUGUAUUAACUACCUUAAACCAAUUGUUAUUUAAAGUACAAUGUGAUCGGCCUGUACCCUGCUACCGACUCAAUAGUAAAACGACGAUGUAAGACGCCGUAAGAAAUGACAUUUGGCACCCGUAGACUUGCAAGUCCCACUGCAGUGAGCAGCAAGGUGUAGGAUAGUCAAUCCAGUAUAGAUCUAUACACAAACUCAUACGCUCCCCAAUUAAGGAGAUUCUGGAUACAAAAACGGUCAUGGCAGGUAGUGCCAUGACCCGUUUAAUAGCUAAUAAUAAUUUAAUGUAAUGUAUAUGUAAUGUAUCUGUAAUGUAUGUGCUAGUUGUAUUGUGUGUUCUUCCUCUGUCUAGCCUGUAUGUUUGUUUCUCAUCACUAUGUAUUAUGUUUGUUUCUCAUCACUAUGUAUUAUGUUCGUUUCUCAUUACUAUGUAUUAUGUGUGUUUCUCAUUACUAUGUAUUAUGUGUGUUUCUCAUUACUAUGUAUUAUGUUUGUUUCUCAUCACUAUGUAUAAGUAUUAGUAAAACCCUAAACUACGCCUAUUGUAGUUUACUAGUAAUAUAACUUGUACGUACGAAUAUGGAAGUAUACCCUUGCUACCCAAGGGUAUUGAAUUGACUGGAAGGAACUUUUAUGACUAUAUAUGUACACAUGAUAUAUAACUAAUAUUUAAACGACCUUCAGAUGGACACCCAAUAUCCCGCCAGACCACAUCUCAAGCGCGAAAAGGAAAUAGGGCGGGCAGGCCUUCCUAAGCCUUUUAAACAUUGCUUAUAUAACUAUACAUACAUGGACAUGCAAUUGAUAAAAGAGUUUUAAGUAAAAGUAUUUGAUAAGUAAAAGAGUUGUAAAACACUUUGAAGCGAAACAGUUUGAUAAACAAUUUGAACAAUAAGGAAAUCACUGGUUUUGUAGUUAUUAAUCACAUGUGAUUGAUGUAAUAACUAUAAAUAUUUUACUUUUAUUUCCCCCCCCCCCAUAAAAGCAUUUAAAAACAUUUAAAUCAUUGAUUAAGGGGUAUGAACUCACCUGUAGUGAGUGCUACGGAUGUUCUGAAGAGGUAGGAUUGCUAGGUGUCAACUGAAGUCUUGAACACACGCUAUGACCCUAGUUAACAUAUAAUCACACAUUUGUGUACCCAAUUAGCUUUAAACUACUAAUUGAAAUUGUUUAGACUUCCUAGAACAUGUUAAACACUUUAUAUAAGUGUUAUAAGCCCUAAGGAUUGCAUCUAAGUUGUUGUAGGACCCGACUAGUGAGUUUAGGGUUCCAAAAGACCCCAUACAUGAGUUUACUCUCCAAUAAACCUCACAGAAGGAGUUUACGGUUGUUAGGUCAAAAUAUGGUUUAUACUUUGCUUUUCUAGGAAAAUAUAUAUUUAUGUAAUGUUGUAUGUGCUUGCGGUUUGUGUGUACGGCCGUACACGUGUGUAGGUGUGCGGCCGUACACAGGGUGUGCGGUUGUACACAUGUGUAUGGCUGGAGGUCCAUAUAAAUUGAGGAGUGCAUGUGGGAGUGUACGGUUAGAAAAGAAAGAGGCUAGAGAAGAGAGAGAAAGUUAGAGAGAAGAAGUGUGUGUGAGAGAGAAUCUAUUGUAAGGAGCAUCAAUCAUAUCAUCAAUACAUUAGAUUCAACAUCUUCUUCUUCUCAUUCUCUUCUAUAUUUGAUCUAACAUCAUCCAAUUGAUUGGGAUUCCGCACCAUCAAUUGGAUCUGAUUGAUACACAAGCAAUUUUGGGGAUUUACAAUUGGUAUUAGAGCUUGGUUGUAUCAAUUAAUUUAUUCAGAUCUGGAGCUUAUUUGAUCUUAUUUUGAAAAGAUAAUAGCGUUUUUGGAUAGAUCUCGCAAAAAUAAGGGGGGUUACUUCUUUGCAUUUUUCAUAAAAACGAGUUUUUGAAAGAGUUUUGGAGCAAAAAGGGUGAAAAACGUCGUUUCUUUCGCGAAUCUGUUGAAGGUGUGCGGCCCGGUUGAAGGAGUGUGGCUGGUUGAAGGUGUGCGGCUCAGCAGCCUCGGUGUGCGGCUCAGCAGUGUGCGGUUCGGUUUGUGCGGCCGGCUCGGUGUGCGGCUCGGAGNNNNNNNNNNNNNNNNNNNNNNNNNNNNNNNNNNNNNNNNNNNNNNNNNNNNNNNNNNNNNNNGCUAGGUCUUCGGUACUCGGUCUCGCCUCGGAAUCCACGGCUCAGCUUCGCUCUCGGCUAAACAGCGUCCGGCUCGCACGCAGCCUCGUCCUCACAGCAGCAUCCUUGCAUCGCUUCGCAGCAUCCAUAAAAAUAGAAACGGAGCUUAGGGCUGUCGGGGAUCGAACCCGGGUGGCUUGUCUAUUGUACAGCGCGCUUUACCAACUCGACUAGCACAACCUUUGUGUCAUCCUUCGAAACAUAAAUCAUAAGCUGUGAUUGUCGGUUUAUAUUUUCGCAAAUUGACAAUAUCAGCCCAAAAAAUUCAAAAUUUUAUUUUUAAAAUCCAUUUUCAACCCAAAAUUUUUUGAUUUUAAUUUUGACUUUUGACUUUAAAAUUUUGACUUUGACCUUCAAGUUUGACAUUUGACUUUAAACUUUGACUUUCUCGUUUUACUUUUAAUUUUUCAUAUUUAGCUUUUCGGUUUGACUUUUAAGUUUGACUUUUUAAAUUUGACUUUUAGGGUUGACUUUUGAGUUUUUAGUCAAAGGGAAAUUAAAAAAAAAUUAAAAAAAAAACAAAAAAAAAAUGAGUUCCACAUCAAUUCCGGUAAAUGAAGUUUCAUGUACUCCAUCUUGUAUAGCUACGAUUAAAUUUCUUCGCGAACAAAUUGAUUUGCUAAAAAGGGAAAAUGAAGACCUAAAAUAUGAAAGAUACACCAUUAGGAAAGAACAAAAACCGUUAAAAGCUCAAUUAGAAACCAAAAUCAAGGAUUUCCGAAAACUCCAAGAAGAUUACAGCAACAAGUGUGAAAAUUAUGAUCACAUUAAGAAAAAACUUGCUGCUGUAACUGAAGAACUUGACGCUUUGAAAAUAAAGUGUGGAAAAACAGAUGUUAGUUUCAAAAAUUACACUGCGUCAAGUAAGACAGUCGAGUCCUUAUUUGAAAAUCAAUUGAAAUUCAAAGAUAAUCAAAACAAGGGUCUAGGGUAUGAUAGUGUUCCUCCCCCUUUCAAUCAUAACUAUAUAUCCAUACCUUUGACUCAGGAAGAGAUUGACCGAGAACCAUUUAUGGUAUACGGUAAACCAGUUGUUGAACAGGCAACUGAGGGUGUUAAGCUGAAAGAUACUAAUGCUUCUACUUCAUAUGCAGGUAAAGUAGCAGAGGAUGAGAACAAGGAGAACACCAUUGAACAAACCAACAUCUCCUUGAACUCUGAAUCUGUUGCUUCGAACUCAACUGCUUCUGAUCAACCUGCUGUUGGUAAAGACAUGCCACUAUUUUAAGCUAAACAGAGUGCCUGUUGUAAGUGUGCAUGUGGGAACAAUCAAAAACGGGGCAAGGACACGCCACCAGGGGCAGGAAGAAACAAUUUCCCAGUGAAGAAAAAGACUUGUUUUCACUGUGGAACACCUGGUCAUAUUGCCCGAAAUUGUCCAAAUCGCGCAUACGUUCCUUAUUAUGCACAAGGCUGGCAGAACGCGCCAAGAGGGAGAUACUCCAAAAGAUACCCCUCGAGAUCACGAUCAGACAUUGACGACUGGAAUGCCAAGAAGGCCAAGAAUUCAACUCCCAAGGCCAAGAAUUCAACGCAGAAGGCCAAGAAUCUAAAUNGAAGCCAAGACCGGUUAAGUCAAAGCCAUCUCAACGGCCGACAUCAAGCUCAAAAGAAAUUACCAAGGCACCCAUUCAAUCCAAUAAGAAAUGGGUUAAACCCGACAACAGAUGGGUACCGAAGGUUCAAUCUCCCAAAUCAUCUAAUGCUUCUAAUAUUUCUACAUCUUUUGUUUGUGAUAAACAGGAUAUGUCAUGGGAGAAAGUACUGUGCAUUGAUGACAAAGGUCAACCCAGUUUCAAAAUGGACUGGGUUCCAAAGACCAACUAAUCAUGUUCUGUGUUGGAUCAGCUAUGGAGACAUAUCAUCAGACUUCGGUUUGUUGAUAGUAGUUGUUCCAAGCAAAUGAUAGGGGACAUCUCUCAACUGUACAACAUUCAGAUAUUGUUUGAGAGUAUGUGUCCUUUGCGGGAAGGGAAGAAAGGAAGGGAUCACAUGUGGUCUGUGCUUAAUGACACGAAGAAUUUUCGGAUCUGUUCUAAGAUUACGCGUGCUGUUUUCAGAUCUUCUGGAUGCAAAUUCAAUCGGUGACUUACGGUUUGACUUUUCUUCUCUAUACUCUGAGUUUUUCUUAAGCUGAUUCACUUUAAAGACAAAUUUUUGUUUUAGGAUGGUUUAAAUUUGCGCAUGUACUUUCGUUUCUCUCCUAUGCACAAAUUUAGGGGGGGAAAUAAAAACAAAACAAAAAUUAGAAAAUUUUAAAAAACAUAAAAAAUUAGAAAAUCCAAAAACAUUAGAAAAUCAGAAAAACAAAAUAAUAAUAUGUUGGUUAUGGAAUGUGCUUGAGGGAGAUGUUUUGGGAAGUGAUAUGAUAAAGUGAUAACAGGCAACCUGAGUCUGCGUAACGUACCCGAAGUUGAAG
RNAcentral lists this long non-coding RNA (56707 nucleotides) under Lactuca sativa (garden lettuce). Its description in RNAcentral is "long non-coding RNA (LSAT_LNC002070)". Lineage: Eukaryota; Viridiplantae; Streptophyta; Magnoliopsida; Asterales; Asteraceae. The record is from RNAcentral.